This 52918-nucleotide long non-coding RNA is filed under the name Lathyrus oleraceus (garden pea). Its description in RNAcentral is "Pisum sativum (pea) long non-coding RNA (PSAT_LNC019879)". Lineage: Eukaryota; Viridiplantae; Streptophyta; Magnoliopsida; Fabales; Fabaceae. The record is from RNAcentral.
UUUUUUUUUGUGAAGAUUCUCCAAAAUAGGAAUAAAGAACAAAAAUCAUAGAACUUCCAUUUUCACGUUUUCCUUAUGCAGUCUGUGUUAUUGCUUGUUUUAACCUAUUGUGAGCCUUAUGCAGAAACAAGGGUAUAGAAAAUGUGAUAACUAUUGAUUUGCACGGGCAGCAUGUGAAACCAGCAAUGAGAAUGCUGAAACUCCACCUUCUGUUUGGAUCAUAUGUUCCUUGUAAGCAUUUUCUUAAGGAUCUAGCUUCUCACUCAUUCUUAGGACUUAAAAGGACAUUGCUUAUUGAACUGUGUUUUCAUUUUCUUACUUUACCUGACUGUCUUUUUAUUUCUGCUUUAGCUGUUCAGAUGAUAAGGGUCAUCACAGGAUGUGGAUCACACGGUUUUGGAAAGUCCAAGCUGAAACAAUCGGUACGGUUUAAUCCACCCCUUCUAUACAAAUCUCAAUAACUAUGUCUCUUCGAAGGGAACAAAAUUGUUUUGAAAUGGCUAUUCUUAUGAUUUGCUUGAUACAGGUUACUAAACUUUUAGAUAAAGAGUCAAUUGAAUGGAGUGAAGAGAACCGAGGAACUGUGUUGAUCAAACUCAACGGAUGGAGAGAGUUCAGCUUUCUGGACGCAGACAGUGAUAGCGAUAGCGAUUGAUUAAGCUUAUUGCAUAUAAGCUAAUUGCAGGUUUAUUAUCUGUUUGUACCAGUUUUAGACUAGUAACUUGGGAUUGAUAACUAAAUUAGAGCUGUGACAUUGACAUGUACAUUAGGUGCCUAUUUAGGCCAAGCUCUUUGUUGAAGCAAACAUAGAUCUUGGCACAUUUAGGGUUGUAUCAUAUCAUGUAGAUCAUUUAACUCUAUUUUUUUUAUUUCAAUUAUUUGGCCAAAACUGCAUCCUAGAGUAGGCUAUAUUGACAUAAGAUACUAUCUGUGAUGUACAGAGAUGAAUAUGUAAUUUUUAAUUUUAAUUAUCAGUUUUUUCUUUCUCUCUGAUUUCUUCAUGAAACGGAUUGCGUUGGUAAUUACAUAUACUGACUUGCUUGCUGCAAUGGAGAUUGGCUGACUGAUCCACACGAUGCUUUGUUACAAAGCUAGUUGAUCAUUCGAGUCACUUUAAAGUGUGACUUAAGGGAUAGAGGGAUUCAGUGUUAUCCAACCCACUAAAUCCAUUAGAAAACUUUGCAUGGUUUGUUUUACACAAUGAUGAAACUUGGAAUAUGAUACCAUAUCUAUAUUCAAGUUUCUUGAAAAAAAAAACAUUGGUGAGUCGAAUUUGAAUUCAGGUACUUUUGGGACAAAUAAUGGAACCAAUGCAUUCUACAAGGGGAUGCUCUUUCCAAUAUUUGGUGGUGCUUUUCACACCCUUGAAAAUGGAUGCGUCUCUAUGAGAUUCACCCAAUUUUGCAAAAACAUAGUUUGGAGAUGCAUAUUCGUUGCAUAUUUGGGUGUAUAUGAAAAUGCACAUCCGAAAUAACUUCUGCACUCAAUUAUUGUGUUUUAAUUCCUUGAGUUAGUUAAAUGAACGACUCAAUGAUAUUUUCGGAAAUGCAUAUCCAGAAAUGACCAGCAGAAAAUUGGAUAACAUCACAUUUCAAAAUCGUUAAUAAAGUUUCUUUCAAUCUCAAUCAUCUUUUUAACAUUAUGUAUUUCAUCACAUCAAAGGGAGUAUAACAAAUCAAAAUUGGAGGUAAGUUCAUUCAUUUCCUUGCAUUAAUCUUGUUUAUGAGCUGAAAAAUAGACGUUGAAUUUGAAUAUGCAUCUCCGGACAAAGUUAGGUGUGGUCCGGACGGAUGUGCAUCAUCGAAUUGUCCUAAUUGUUCAAGUUUUUACACUGUUUUUGUGUUGUUGGUUGUAGUAGAUAUGGUGCACCCCAAAAUGUUUACUAAAGCUAUUGUGAGUGUGGAUGUUAAACCGAAUGAAGCGAAUGAUGAUGUUAAAUCAUGAACAUAUGUUACAAUGGGUUCGUAGGGAGGCCGAAAGUUGAGGUAUGGCGUUGUAAUCGGAAGGUUCGACAAUCGUUCGGACAAACGACAUGCAUUUGUAACGAUGAUAUGCGAAAGAAGUGGCAAGUACCAACCAAAGAUUAGGAAGUUGAAACGAGAUGACAAUGGAUCAAGGAAGUGUGAGUAUCUGGUUAAAUUGUGUAGAUAACACAUGGCAAAUGAGACAUGAAAAUUUAAUGUGAUUUUUGGUAUACAUAUUCAUGCUUGAAUGACAAGCUAGUUGAUUAUCUUGUUCCGGAGGAAGAACUUAUUUAGGACAUGAUAUUAAACAUGGUGGCGCCGAAAAACAUACUCGCAUCUUUGAAACAGAAAAACCUCGAAAUGUUUCAAAUAUCAAGCAAAUAUACAAUGUGCGCGUCCGAGACAAUAAAUUCGUUAGAAGACUGUUGUUCCUUUUAAUUGGUUGCAUUAGGUAAAACAACAUUGGGUAGAACAAAAUGUAUUUUUCGUGAAGAUGCAAUAUGUUGAACAACAUGCUCCAGCAUGUGUGCAACAUCUGACCUCAGUCUACAGGUAAGGAUUCGUGUGAUCUUUUGAGCGAAAUUAUGUUUGAUUCCUGGAAGAUCUGGUGUUUAUGAUUUGUAUAUUUUAGCAAUAUGUUAUUCAGUAAGAUUUGCUAAAAUAUUUAAUAAGAUCAAAGUCAAUUAAAUGAAGAUUUAAAUUGAAUCAAGAUCAAAUCAAAUCAUAUCUUUUUGUGGAUAUUUUUAAAGCAAAUCAAAUCUUGCUGUUAUCAAAUCUAAUGUGUAUGACCUUAAACUUCAAACACUUAAUUUAUAAAAUAUGCGUAAUAAAAUACUGAAAAAGGGUGUCACAUUUCUCGGCAUAACAUUUUCAAAUCACAAUAGCAAUGGAAAAUAAACUUCAACAUAACUCUAAUUGUCUCAUAAUAGAAAUCAACUUCAUUUAAUCAUAAAAUAGUUAAUUCAACAACUCGCAGAAAAAUAGAAUAAAUUAUUCCCAAUCCAGUGUUACACUAUCAAAGCGACACAUACAAAACUAUAAAACGCAAAAAGAUAAACAACGAAGAAGGCCAACUAUGCCAUCCUCCAAUACAAUCAACAACUAUAACUCCCCAGUCCCUACCUGAGUAUCUGCACCACAAGCGUAAAGAAUAACAUAUAAACAAACAGGGGUGAAAAUACAUUAACAUAUAUAAUAGUGCAUAAAAUAGCAAGAAUAAUACAAUUAGCAUAAAUAAUCAAUCAUACAAUUCAUCCAUAACAAUAAUCAUUCACAAAUGCAAUUAUGUAUGUAAUAUAUUCAUCUUCUCUACUCCAAUGUAUCUGGUAUCAAAAUUUGAAUAUUUAGAGGUGUAUUACUGAAGAAUCCAACUAGUCACUGGACCGAAGUCCUAACUCAUCACUAGACCGAAUUCCUACUCGUCACUAGACCGAAGUCCUAACUCGUUACGUGACAUAAUCCCCACCUAUCUCAAAUACUCAUCAUUGGUUUCUCUCUAACCUAAAAGUCAACAUAAAUCAUCGUCAAUGCAAGGCCACAUCAAUGAUUCCAAUGAACUGAAACAUCUCAGCAUAAACUCAACCUUUUUCCUCUUCACGAGGCAUUCAUCAUAAACUUAACACAAUAAUUAAAAAUAUAUGGUUUCUCAUAUAUAAUCAUCAAACAACAUCAAAGAACCAUCGAAAACAGAAACCACUCGAAAAAUCGAGUCAAACGUCCCAUAAUCGAUCAAAACAGGGGAUGACGAUUUGCCCUUCAGGAAUGACGGUCGUCACACCCACCGUUCAUCGUCCCCCCUCAAUCUCCCAUCAUCACGUUGAUGCAUGGGAAAGGGAGCUAGUCUCUGAGGCUCUAACGGUCUGUCACCUCGCUAACGCCAGUUAGCGCGUCCCCAAGGGGUGUCUUCUCCAGCGUAGUGACGAUUGACCCGUCAUGAACGUGACGCCCGCCACCUUUAUGCAGAACUUGAAAAUACCAUUUUCGGCAUGGUUGCGCCUUCAGACCUCCGAUUUCGAUUUCAAAGAACCCCAUACACACAACAAAUCAUCAUACAUAAAUCAUAUAACACACCAAUAACGCACAAAUUAAUCAUCUAUAUCAUUAAUUAGCCACAAAAUUACCAUUAUGUUCAUCAAUUCAAAGCAUAUACACAUGAAUAUUCAAACUUAGAGUUACGCAUACCAAUUCUUACGAAAAUCAACAAUCAACAGAGCACGAAAACAACAACGUAUUACAACAAUCUAGAGAGGUUUUGCACAAACCAUCUUAAGAUUAAACUUCAUAAAUAGAGGAAAAAUAAAAGGAAAAUGGAAAGAGGAUAAGGUAUCCUCUCUAUCCUUCAUGCUUAUACACCCAUAUCAUGAACAAUUCCCUCAUUACUUCUAAUUCACGGAAAAGUUUUAAAUCUACGACUAUGGAGUCUCUUCUCCUACUCUUGCUCUGCUAGGGAUUUUCUCUUACUCUGGUGACAACUUAUUUUCACCAAAUAACUCCCUCAUUCUAUUUUCCUUCUCCAUUUAAAUAAAAACCCUAUUUUAAUUUUUAUUAAUUCUAAUAAUCCCCUCAACUCUUAAUAAUUCUAUUCACCGCCUUAAUUUUAAUUAGUUUCUAUUUUCAUUCCCAAAUCACAAUUUCUCAUUUUCUCUAUUAUUUUAAAUAAAUAAAAAUUAUAAUAAUUUCUACUAAAAAUCCAAACAUCAUUAAUAAUAGUAAUAAAAUAAUAAAAAAUCAGGGUGUUACAACUCUCUUUCACUUAAAGAAUUUCCGUCCUCGAAAAUUACCUGAAGGAAACAAAUCUGGAUAAGACUCCCUCAUCCGCCUCUCUAGCUCCCACAUUACACUUCCUCCAGCAGGUCCUCCCCACACUACCUUAACCAAAGCGAUCUCUUUACCUCUCAAGUGUGUUACUUUUCGAUCCUUAAUCCGCAAGGGUGAUGCCUCCACGACCAAGUUAUCUCUCACUUGCACACCAUUCAAUUGGAUCACAUGGGACAAAUAAGGAAUAUACUUAGUUGAGACACAUGAAAUACACUAUGAAAGUUUUAAAGAGAUGUUAGUAAGCAAACUCGAUAGGCAACUUCGCUGACCCUCUUAAGGAUUUGAUGAGGACUAAUAAAAUGAGGUGUAAGCUUUUGAGACUUCAAUGCUCGACCAACACCAGUCACCAGAGUGACUCUCAGGAACACAUGAUCUCCUUUUUGAAAUUCAAGAGCUUUUCUUCGCUUAUCAUGAUAACUCUUAUGUCUGCUCUCCGAUGCCUUCAUGUUUUCCAGAAUCAUCUUAAUCUUCUCGGUAAUUAUUUGAACAAUCUCUGGUUCAAGCAUAACACCUUCACCUGAUUCAUACCAACACAAGGGUGUUCUACACCUUUUACCAUAUAGAGCUUUAAAAGGGGCCGUUCCUAUAUUAGAAUAGUAUCCGUUGUUAUAAGUAAACUCGAUCAAUGGAAAAUAAUUGUCUCAAUUACCUUCAUGCUCCAAAAUACAAGCUCUUAACAAAUCUUCAAAAGAUUGGAUAGUCCUUUCUAUCUGACCGUCCGUCUAUGGAUGGUAAGCAAAACUCAACCUCAACUUGGUUUCCAAGGUUGCUUGCAAGCUCUCCCAAAAUCUUGACGAGAACCUCAGAUCUCUAUUUGAAACAACGCUCGAAGGAAUCCCAUGCAACUUCACAAUCUCACUAAUGUAGAUCUCUACUAGCUUCUACAAUGGAAAUUGAUUUUCAUCGGAACAAAAUGAGUUGACUUAGUUAGUUUAUCUACAACAACCCAAAUAGAAUCACUUCCUUUUGCGGUUAUUGUCAAACUCACUACAAAAUCCAAGGAGAUACCAUCCCACUUCCACUCAGGAACACUCAAAGAUUGCAUUAAUCUAGAUGAUUUUUGAUGCUCGAUCUUCAACUUAUGACAAAUCAAAUAAUAAUACAUAAACUCUGCAACAUCCUUCUUCAUACCUGACCAAUAAAACAUUUUCUUAAGAUCCUGAUACAUCUAUGUGGCUUCAGGAUGAAUACUCAAACUACUCUUGUGACUUUCUUCCAAAAUCUUCUUUUUAAGCUCCAGUACGUCUGACACACAAACUCUAUCCCGAAACUUCAUAAUUCCCAUAUCAUCUACCUUGAAGUUGACUUAUUUACCUUGAUUAAUCAAAACCACCGAUUACUCAAUCCCAAAUCUAACUUGUGACCUUCCUUGAUUUCCUAUAGAACGUUAUUAGCCAACUUCAGCAUAUCCAACUUCACACUUUGUGGCGUCAUCUCGCACACCAAAUUAAGAUCUUUGAACUGCUCAAUCAAACCUAUUUCUCUAACCAUUAACGCUGAGAUAUGCAAGGACUUCCUACUUAACACAUCUGCUACCACAUUAGCUUUACCAGGAUGGUAACUUAACUUAAAGUCGUAGUCCUUCAAAAAUUCUAGCCACCUUCUCUGCCUCAUAUUCAGUUUUUUCUGAUCAAACAAAUACUUCAAACUCUUAUGAUCAUUGAAAACUUCAAACCUCAGACCAUACAUAUAAUUUCUCCAAACUUUAAGCACGAAGACUAUUGCUGCCAACUCCAAAUCAUGGGUAGUAUCAUACUCUAACUUUGUUAAGACAUUUGAUUUAUUUCAUCUGGUCAAUUUGCAUUUUUGUCACAUUUGUUAUAUUUUGCAUUUUUGUUCAUAUUUUGAUUUAUUAAUUUUAAUUAUUUUAAUUAUUUUAGUUUAAAAUAUCAUAUAUUAUUUCUACAUUUUGAUCAUAUGCAUUUUAUUACAAAAUAAACGAUUAUUUCUUUUCCAUGUACAUGUGCAUUCAUUUGACUUUUCCAUCAAGUUUCUAACUUGCAUAUAAGACAAAACAAAAAGAGUGAAUUCUAAUUUGUUCAUCAUCAUAGUAAUAAAUGAAGGAGAAGAGCGAUCCAAAAUGCAUCGGAAUUUAAAAUUUCUCCUUUAGUGAUCCUUACGAAUGAGCAUGAUCAGUGAUAGAAUCGUUACCUCUUGUGGCGAUUGUAAUCUUUGAUGCAGAUCUACAGAGCGAUCACGAACGUUGAAUGAUGACAACGCCUCUACUCAGUCCACACGAACGAAUUUCUUCAAUCUUAGUGCUAGCUGCUACGAAUGAAGGCUUUGAGUGAGAGAGAGAAACAAAAUUGCAACUGCACAAAUGCUUCUACACAAGGGUUCUAUUUAUAGAACCACUUGUGUGGAAUGCAAGCUAAAAAGCCCACUCAAGUGUAUGUGGCCCAUAUCUUAUAAUAUGCCAAAAUCACUUAAGCGCACGAUACCUUACCAUAUUUUGUAUUCUACUUAAGUACACCGUACCUUAUGAUGUUCUACAAUUCACUUAAGUGCACCGUACAUUACGGUAUUCCUUAGUUACUCUAUCUCUCAUCAAUCCGUCCUUUUGUGUGUGACCCUAUAGGUUUUCGCGACAUUGACAAUUAUAUUAAAUCACGUAUUUAACAUAAUAAACAGUGAGCGGUAUCUAGCAACACAUCACUGCUACCCAAGACAUGAAAAUGUCAUGUGAUCUGACAAAUCCUUUUGCGAUAAUACUUAUGUGUACAAUUACCCUUUUGCCCUUAUGUCUAUAUUGAACACAAGGCAUAGACCGUGUCAUCCUUGUCCAGUUUAAUAUUGGGUCCAUAGACAUUUAUCCUGUUACGCAGGAUGGGAAAAUUCCAUCUAGGUCACUCAUGUCCCUUAGCAUACUUCGGGGAGUACCCAUCAACUGUCUUUAUGGUCAUCCAGUUACGGACAAUGUUUGAUCAGCAAUAAGGCACUUGACUCUACAUCUAGGGUCCAUAGUGGUUUCAGGUCGAAGGGUGGUAUACACCAUGAGAAUUAAUUUAUGUACACUUUCCCCAUAACAUUCUAUAUAGUAUUCUCAUGCGUGGGUAAUCCAGAUAAAAUAUUACUCUUAAUAUUCAUACCUAUGUUUAAGACUUGAUAACUCCUUAUCCAUGAUCCAUGAGAUGUGAUCAUCAGUCUAUAUACAUAAUAGUCUUAAUGUUUUAAUGUUAUCCCACUUCGCAAUAAAUCUCGACUAUGGAUACUUUAAGAAUAAUGUCCUUAUGUUUAAUGUGAUCUAAUGAUUAAGUAACACUUGAUACAUUAAACGGACUAUCUAUUCUAGGGACUUUAUUAGACAAACAUAAUAAAGAAAAAGCCUUUUAUUAUUGAUAAAUAAUUCGAUACAAGUACCAAAAGUAUUGGCCUCUAGGGCUUACACCAACAAAGUCGACAAAAGUCGACAAAAGUCAAAGAUUUUGGUACAAAAGGACAAAUUUGGAUCACACUUAUUUUGCCAAACUAACUAUGCAUGAUCAUACAUCCAUACAUCACCCAUUUUCCCACUAAUCUCACAUGGUUUGCAACCGAAAUCAGAGAUUGAAAUUCAAACUUUUCAUCUCAAAUCCAAAUUCAAGUGAAAUUUCAUCAAAUGACAUUCGAAUUUCACUCACACUUCUUACAUUUUCAAAUAAUCCCUAUACUAACCUUUAACCUAAUUUCUAGCCUAUAAAUCAAGUCAUUCUUAUAAGAAAAUAAUGACAACAAUCGCUACUAGCCUAGCCAAAACCCUGCAUCAAAUUCAUUUCCCAAAUUCAAGUUUCUUCACUUGAAGAAACUUUGAAAAUUUUCACAAAAAACCUUCUACCUUGAUCCAUUUUCCAUUCCAGUUCUUUGAUCUUUACUCAACAUCAUUACAUAUCCCAAACACAUGCCAUAAACACCUCAAACACUAAGAUUCAAUCAUUUCAGUUUGAACUCGAAUUUUAAAAACUUGUUCAAAUCAAGUCAAUUGGAUCAUAAAAUAAUAGAGGAUAUCAAGAGGAGUUGGAAUCUAAAAAUAAAAGUUGGAAACACACCUUGCUGAAACCAGAUCGGAGACUUGUCGGAAUCUGUAUUUGCUGGCUAAAAUCUUCAACGUGUUCUUGAGGUUUUCUCAUUCAGGCAAGCCUUAAUCUUUAUCGCUUUGGUUAUUUCUCUACACUAUUGGAUUUCUACACAUCAUACACAUCAUAUCCCUAAAUUAAUUUCAUGAAAUCAUGCUGAAUUGAGCAUUUAUGGGAUCUAGGGUGCUUGAACUCAUGAAUGUUCAUGAACAUUCAUGAACUCAAACCAAAUUUCACGAUUCCAACCUAUUUUAAAUGGAAAACAACCCAAAAUGAAUCAUAAUAUAGUUCUAAGCACGAUUCUAUAACAUUUGUACCUGAAUCUCUGAAACAAGACCAAAUCAAAUUCAUUGGUAUUUUGCUUGAAACCUUCUGAUUCUGCCAAAAUUGUUGAUGAUUCGUGUUGAUUGUUUAUUAAUUCAUACACGUUUGAUUGUUUAGUUCAUGUUAGCCUCAUGCAGUCUGAUUUCAUGUUUGUUUUUGGAUUUUGCAUUUGAUUUUUUGGAGCUUCAUAGCUCUCGUUUGAAUGUGAGAGAGAGGAGAUAAGAUUGCCAGAUUAAACCUCAACCGUUGAUCUUAUUUGUUCUGGUCUCAUUUUGAUUCUGAUCUAAUGACCACAUGGUUUAAUCAGAAUAACCGAAUCUAGGCCUUAGGGCGUCCUUGUAAGGGAGCCCCACCACGAUCAUGAAAUAUUGGCCAUUUGAUCUUAAUCUAAACGCCUAGGUGGGAACUCUUUGAUUGCUUGAUGAGAUCAAAUAAGUGCCAUCUGAUGUUUAUUAGAUGGCCUCGCGUGUUCCUGAUCUUCUUUUUUCUUUUUUGUAGCUUUUGGGCCUCCAACAUUGUAAUCAACUUCAAAUCAUUUCCUCAAUAAAAAAUCAGAUUAAAAAAGAACAACCGAGUGCAUAAUCUUUUGAUCCCCGAAUAAUCAGACCCGAGCCGUACACCUCGUUCCAACAAAUAUUUCGUCUUUCGUCAAAAUCAAACUAUUUUCACAAUUAAAACCAAUACCAUUUUCAAAAUUAUUCAAAUUUAUCUAAAAUCUAUCUCAUAGCCAAAAUCGACUAAAAAAGGACAACUGGGUGCACACUCUUUGAUCCCUAAAUAACCGGACCCGUGGCACACGCCUCAUUCAAACCGAGCAUUCAACUUCCGCCAAAAAACACAUAAUUAAAAUUGGAUUAAAAAGGACUAUUGGGUGCACACUCGUUUGAUCCAUGAAUAGUCGAACUUGAGGCAUACACCUCGUUCCAAUUGAUUAUUCGUCUUCCGCAAAUGAUUUUUGUAAAUAAUUGGAUUAAAAAGGACAAUUGGAUGCACACUCUUUUGAUCCCUGAAUAAUUGGACCUGAGGUACACACCUCGUUCGAAUCGAGCAUUCGUCUUCCGCCAAAAACAUUUAAUAAAAAUUGGAUUAAAAAGGACAAUCAGGUGCAAAUUCUUUUGAUCCCUGAAUAAUCGGACUCGAGGCAUACUCCUUGUUCCAACCAAUUAUUCAUCUUCCUUCAAAAUCAAACUAUUUUUCAUAAUUAAAACCAAGACUAUUUUCAAAAUUAUUCAAAUUCAUCUUAAAUUUAUUUCAUAACCAAAAUCGAAUUAAAAAAAGGAUAACUGGGUGCACAUUCUUUUGAUCUCUGAAUAAUCGGACCCGAGGCAUACACCUCAUUCUAACCGAGCAUUCGUCUUCCAUCAAAUUACACAUAAUCAAAAUCAGAUUAAAAAAGGAAAAUUAGAUGCACACCCUUUUUUUCCUCGAGUAGUCAGACCCGAGGCGCACGCUUCGUUCCAACCAAUUACUCGUCUUCCACAAAUGAUUUUUUUAUUAAAAAUAAUUGGAUUAAAAGGGACAAUUUGGUGCAUAAUAUUUUGAUCCUCAAAUAAUCAUACAUGAGGCACACACCUCAUCCCAACUGAGCAUUCGUCUUCCUCAUAAAAAUAAUUUUAACCAAUCAAACUUUUUCCCUCCCUAGCGCGACAAACAAACUUUUUCAUAAAUGAACGGUGUUUUAUCCAUUCUGAUGCGAUAUACAAGCAAACAUUUUAGCCUCCCAUGCGCAAUCAAUAACCAAUGUUUAACCACUCGAAUGCGAUCAAAACAUAAUCCAUUUUGACGUGAUAUACAAACAAAUGCUCCAGCCUCCUAUACGUGAGCAACUAGCAAUGUUUAAUCGCUUGAAUGCGACCUAAACAUCUUUCACGAAAGUCAACUAACACACAACCGCUUGCUACAAAGAACUACAUAGCUUUGAGUUCUGCAUCGCACAUGAGGAUACAUAGGAGCGAUAUCCAACGUCUCAUCAAGAACCAUAAUAAAAAAACUAUUAUUCUCUCCUAGAACUGCAUAACUUUAAUUUCCCUAUCAGACCUGGGGAUAUGUAAGAGCGAGAUUCAACAUCUCGUCAACACCCUAAUAAGAAAAACUUAUUUUAAGUCUUUUUCCUUACAUACUGUCGCAACCUAAAAAAGAUAAAGAGAUGCGAAAAAACAACCGGCGAGAAAAGAAAUGACAGAAGACUCGCCACUGUACGUUAUUUAUCCUAAAGGAGGGAAAGGAAACGCUCAAAGAAAACCUGAAGAAAGGAAAGGAAAAGACAAGGUCUUGCAACCAAAUCUUGGGUUCGGGAGUCGAUUAUGCGAAGGGAAGGUAUUAGCACCCCUACGCAUCCGUAGUACUCUACGGGAUCCACUUUUGUUGUUCUCAUCUAAAGGGUGUGUGUAUAUCUAAGGUACUAUUUACUAAAAGAAAGGUCAAAAGAAAAUGACUCGCACAGAUGUCGCAUCCACUGCAUACGUAUCUCAUCUGAAUAUGAGAAUCAGAGUCUUCGUAGCUCGGCUACCUAUGGGUUAAAGAGAAGUGCGCCCGCUAAGACAUCGUGUCUUAUGCCUACGUAUCUCAUCUGGAAUGAGAAUCAGAGCAAAAUGUAGUUCAGCUAACUACGGGAACAAGGGUCUCGAUUGCAACUAGGGCAAGAGAAAGGGAAGGUCUCGAUCGCAACGAGGGCGAGAGAAANNNNNNNNNNNNNNNNNNNNNNNNNNNNNNNNNNNNNNNNNNNNNNNNNNNNNNNNNNNNNNNNNNNNNNNNNNNNNNNNNNNNNNNNNNNNNNNNNNNNNNNNNNNNNNNNNNNNNNNNNNNNNNNNNNNNNNNNNNNNNNNNNNNNNNNNNNNNNNNNNNNNNNNNNNNNNNNNNNNNNNNNNNNNNNNNNNNNNNNNNNNNNNNNNNNNNNNNNNNNNNNNNNNNNNNNNNNNNNNNNNNNNNNNNNNNNNNNNNNNNNNNNNNNNNNNNNNNNNNNNNNNNNNNNNNNNNNNNNNNNNNNNNNNNNNNNNNNNNNNNNNNNNNNNNNNNNNNNNNNNNNNNNNNNNNNNNNNNNNNNNNNNNNNNNNNNNNNNNNNNNNNNNNNNNNNNNNNNNNNNNNNNNNNNNNNNNNNNNNNNNNNNNNNNNNNNNNNNNNNNNNNNNNNNNNNNNNNNNNNNNNNNNNNNNNNNNNNNNNNNNNNNNNNNNNNNNNNNNNNNNNNNNNNNNNNNNNNNNNNNNNNNNNNNNNNNNNNNNNNNNNNNNNNNNNNNNNNNNNNNNNNNNNNNNNNNNNNNNNNNNNNNNNNNNNNNNNNNNNNNNNNNNNNNNNNNNNNNNNNNNNNNNNNNNNNNNNNNNNNNNNNNNNNNNNNNNNNNNNNNNNNNNNNNNNNNNNNNNNNNNNNNNNNNNNNNNNNNNNNNNNNNNNNNNNNNNNNNNNNNNNNNNNNNNNNNNNNNNNNNNNNNNNNNNNNNNNNNNNNNNNNNNNNNNNNNNNNNNNNNNNNNNNNNNNNNNNNNNNNNNNNNNNNNNNNNNNNNNNNNNNNNNNNNNNNNNNNNNNNNNNNNNNNNNNNNNNNNNNNNNNNNNNNNNNNNNNNNNNNNNNNNNNNNNNNNNNNNNNNNNNNNNNNNNNNNNNNNNNNNNNNNNNNNNNNNNNNNNNNNNNNNNNNNNNNNNNNNNNNNNNNNNNNNNNNNNNNNNNNNNNNNNNNNNNNNNNAAAAAGAUUAGGAUCAAAACCUCGUAGUUCGGGGUAAAAAUCUCAAAAUGAGUUGGUGAAUUGAUUGGUCCAAAAGCCUUAAGGUCUUUUGUUAUCAAAGGGAGAAAACUCAACCAAACCACAAAUCCACCAUGUGAGGAUAACUUCAACAUGCUAGUGAGGGGUUAACCCUAUAAUAAGCAUGGAAGACUCAUUGUCCAUCACUAAGGAUAUAGGUGAGUAUUACAUCUACCACCAAGAUAACUCAAACCUAAUAACUAAAGGUUAUGAAAAAUUUGAUUAAGGAAGUGGCCAUUGGAACCACAAAAAUACAUUUGAAUGGGUUAUAUUUACCAAUUAGAAGUAUAUACGAAAUGGUCAAAGUUAACUUAGAAGUUUAAUUCAAAAUAAGUGUUAUGAAAAGAAAGUUUGAAAAUCAAAAGCAUUAGGCUUAGGUUUCUAAUGUUUGAAAACAAUGGUUAAAUGUUUGCACAAAAGGUUUUGGCUUGGGUUAGAGUGGAGAGAAGAAGAAGAAGGGCUAAGUCCUAAGGAAAAUAAAAGGGAAAGGGAAAGAAAUGAAACCACACUAGGAGUCCCUCUCUUGAGAUUAUAUUGAUGAUCCAAGUAGCUCCCAUCCUUUGGAAUAAAGCAACCACAAAGCAUAAGAAAUCAAAUAAGUCUCUAAAGAGAUCCUCAAUGCAUCUUGUUUCUUCCAUUUUGGAUGAACAUGGCAAUGGUCCUCCAAUUAAGCUCAAAUGGAAACUCCUAACACAAAAGCACACACAUCAAAAGCUCCAUGAAGUAAAAUAAGAAUGGACAAGAGAGAGUUUAGAGAGUUGGUCCUUCUAAUUCCAUUAUCAUUAAGAUCCUUUUACUCCAAUUUUGCAUAAGGAAUGUCCUAGAAUCUAAGUCUAAUUCUCCAUUUCUUUGCAUAGGGAAAGUCCUAGAAACUAAGUCCAUUUCUUUACAUUUGGUCCACAACAAUCAAAACAAAACACAAGCACAAUAAUAUAUAUACAAUUACGUGCUCAAAUGAGCAAAAGGCAAAUGGCAUUAACAUAAACAUUUGCUCAAGUGAGCAAAGGGAAAAAACAAAUGAAUAAUAUGUGCAAGAAUAGUAAAUUGCAUAAAAGUAAAGUGCAUAAAGUAAAUGUUAAUUGUCAAUAGUUAGUGUUAGUAGUUAGUGUGCCAUAAGGCAAAUUUAGCGCUAUGUUAAGCAAUCGUAAUUGGACUUAUGUAGAAGUCAAACUAUCUGGGUCGGUCAAUAAUAUGUAGGCAACAAACCAAGUUAGGAGUCUUGCAUUAGUGAAUCAAGUCCAACAACGGCCAUCCAAAAGAGAGAAGCAGAAAUGAUCUUUAUUGGUUUAAGCCUUAUGCAUGAUUUAAAAGACAACCUAUCCUUAAUGCAAAGCCAUUCACUUUGAUCAUUGAUCAAGGGAUGAAUUAGAUUUGAAUCAAGGAGGUUAAUCCCUCUAAUCAAUGCUAACUUAUCGACUUCAAUUAUUGAUCAAAAAGCAAAAAGAGAAGAAAAGAAAGAGAUGAUAAGAGCAAAUGGAAAUGACAAAAUAAAAUGCAUUAAAUGGAUAAAAAUGUAUCAAUCCUCAUAUGUUGACCAAUACAUGAAAGUCAAGGUAAACAAUCAAAAACAAAGUAGAUGAAGAUCUGGAAGUCAAGAAAAGAAUAAAUAUUUUUGGCAUUUUUUUAAUCUUAAAAUAAACCUUGGAAUUAAAUAAAUGGAAGGUCAAACUUCAAAAUCACUUCAAAAUAACCUUGAAAGCAUCCAAGUGAUUAUCUAAGUUCAACAGGCAACAAAGUUUGGACAAAAAUUCAGCAUUUUUAAAAAGUCAGAAACUAUUUUUAAUGAAUUAAAAAGUGAAUUAAAAAUGAACUAAUUGAACUAAAAUCUGCAAAUAAAUUCUCAAAUGAAUUCAAAAUUGAUGAGAUAUUUUCAUAGCAUCCAUCAUCAAUUUCAAAUAGCGUAGGAAUUUUUAUUUUGUUUGAAUAUCAAAAAGCUAUUAAAAUGAAUCAAAAUAACCAGAAAAGAGAAAAAUUUCACAAAAAUAUCAAAUGACAAAAUAAAAAGUAUUAAAAUCAGAAUAGAAACAGAAAUAUUUGCGGAAUAACACUGUCCCAUAUUUUUUGGUUAAAAUGAGCAGAGAUAUGAUUUUUUGAAAUAAAAGAAAUAAACAAAUAAAAACAGAAAUUGAAAAAUGGCAAAAAAACGAGAGCCCUCUUGGAUCUAGCUCAUUAAUUGAGCUGGCAGAUCCAAGGAUCAGAGCGCGCGUUACGUAACACCAAGCAUGCCACAUCAUGGCAAGAAAUAAAGGUCAUAAAAGCAAAUGCUUAUGAUGAUCUGGAGAUCCAAUCCACGCGUUCCAGAUUUCAAACUGACCUGAUGAGCCACCUGAGCCUUCAUCUUCUUUCGGCGAGCUUCCCCAGAUUCGGCCCAAGUGCAGAAAUAAAAAGGCAACCAAAACGUGCGAUCUAUAUAUCAAUCGAUAAAGGAAGUGUGUACAUCACCCUAUGCCUGCACUUCACUCUAGAUCUCUAUAAUGGAGAAAUCAGAGCUGGAAGUAUGAUGGUGUUCAUCAUGAACUUCAUGUUUUUGCAAAAUUGAAAACACAAAUCAAAUGCCUCUAUUGAGAGGACUUCAGCCAACAUUAGAUCCAAGCAAAAAGGUCCAUGGAUGAAGAGAAUCGAGGAAAUUACCAGUUAGAGUGCAAGCUUGAGUUCUGGUGAAUUGAGCACGAUACCUUGCUUGCUUUAUCAAAACAGAAGUUCAAUGGAUCAAGGUGAAGAGGUCUAAGAACUUUUAGAUCUAAGAAAAUAGUCGAGGAAACUGAAUUCUAGAUCUGAAAUUUUUAGAGAAAAGAGAGAGUUCCUUUGGUGUGAGGGUGUGGAUUCAAUUCAACAAAGUUUCAGGCGCCUUCAGGUUGAAGAAUUGAGAGGGCAAGGCAAUGUAUUUAUAGGCAAGGCAAUGCUGAAUGCAUGAUUUCAAAUUUGCAUGAAUGGAAAGGGCCUCCAUGCAUGGGCCUGUACAGGCGCAUGGAGGGCCCAAUUCCACUUUGAAUGCAUGAUUUCAAAUUUGCAUGAAUGGAAAGGGCCUCCAUGCAUGGGCCUGUACAGGCGCAUGGAGGGCCCAAUUCCACUUGGUUUUGGCAGCUGAUCAUCAUCAUGUAAGUUUUGGACGUGCAAAUGAGGUAUAUUUGGAUCAUGCAUGGCAAUUGAAGUGAUUUUCACAAAAUGCACUAUUACAUUGAAGCCUUCGAAAAUGCCAUGUCCAAAAUCAAAAUGCAAGCUUAUGAGUAAUGGUUGGAAAUCUUAUUGCAUAAGGAACAAAUGUCAUGUUGAUAAAGAUUUCAUUUGGGCCUUGGAAAUUAGUGGAAUUUGAGCUUGAAGGGUGAUGUGCAAAACAUGUCAAGGCAAAGUUUCUAAAAUUGGCCAACUUUCAAGCCCUUCUGUUUUGAUGAUGCAAGUUCCAAAUGAAAAAACCUCCAACAUCAAAGUUGUAUAUCUUCUCAAGAAAUAAAAAUGGACUUAAAUUUUGCAUCAUUUGGAUUUUUGAUGAAAGAGUUAUGGGCACUUGAAGUUGGACUUUUUUUACUUUUAAUGCCUUUGGUCAAAAAGGACCUAUAAUGUAUUGCAUUAUCACAUGUAUUUUUGCAUCAUUUGGAUUUUUGAUGAAAGAGUUAUGGGCACUUGAAGUUGGACUUUUUUUACUUUUAAUGCCUUUGGUCAAAAAGGACCUAUAAUGUAUUGCAUUAUCACAUGUAUUUUCUUUGAGAUUUUGAAAUUUUGUCCAACAUAACAUUUGAAGUAGACAUCUUAAUAUUUCCAAUGCAUUUGAUCUCUCCUAAAAAUCAUAAAAAAUGAGUGAGUUAUGUCCUUGGGAAGUUGACCUAAAAUUAGGGUUUCAGUCAAAAUGACCUAUAAUGUAUUGGAAUGGAAGAUGGUUUUCCAAGAUUCAAAUAAAAUUUUGAUGAACAUGAAAGUUGUUCAUAUUGUCCUUAAGAACAUUUUUGCUUUUGGAACCAUCUCCAUUUGACCAACACACCAAAAGUUAGGUCUCAGUGCAUUUCACAAUAGUCAGAUGAAUUGACUGAUCAACUUUUCAAGUCCACAACCCAUACCUUGAUGAAUUGAUGAUUGAGGAUACUCAAAUGAGUUCAAAUAUGCAUGAAAUGAUGAGUUAAAUGACUUCCCUUGAUUGUAUUUGACCAUGGGCUGAGGUUGCUUCAUGAGCAAGGCAUUGUGAUGCACAAAUGAAUUAGGGCUUCUCUGGGGAACAAACCUCAAAUCCUUUGACUUGCCUUGAUCAAACAUGAUGAAUUGAAACACUAGGGGGGCAUAUUUGAUGGAUGAGAGCUUUCGGAACCAUUACCAUGCUUGCUUCCACCUCCUCUUGACCAAUGACUUCCUUGAAGCUUUUGAUCUUGUGAUUGCUCAAGCUACAACCAAAAGAUGUUAGUGACAUAUUUUUGUGCUUUUGAUUAGUGAAUAAAAUGAGAAAAGCAAGGAUAUACAAUUCAAACAUGCUUGUUGAUCUCAAACCACUCGCAAAGAGUCCCACCCAAAGGCAGGGGGAACCAAGAUGCUCAAUGAUCCUUGAGGCUAUGCAAUUGCAAUAUUAUGAUGCCAUGAGGGAUCUUAGGGACAAAAUUGGGGUCUUACAGGGCGAAAGCAGACAAGGAUUAGUUGGUAGUCGUCAGUCAAAAAACUCGGCAAGACGUCGCAUCUCGUGCCUAUGUAUCUCAUCUGAACAUGAGAAUCGGAGUUGUCGUAGUUCGACUAACUAGGGGUUAAAGAUUGCAAUAUGAACAUGGACUUAUAAAGGAGGACACCAGUUGUGUCAAAGGAGAGUGGGAAAUGUGUUCACGUCCUAGCAAUAGGUGUCGCAGCUCACUGAAUCGAGUCUUAGGCAGUUACCUCUUUGCAAUAGAACGGAGUGACAUGCCACAGGAUUGGAGACGCACGGAAGGUCUAGAAGUGGGGAAGCUCUGCCCUAGAGUUGUCAUGCAAUGUGGAUCUAUGUGUUAGGAUUUACAAAUGGGAACAUCUACCUAAUGUUAGCAUGCACAGAAUAAGGGAAUUCUACCUAUGUUAUCAUACAAAGAAGAAAGGAAUUCUACCUAUGUUAUCAUACAAAAGAAUAUGGGAAUUCUACCUAUGUUAUCAUACAAAGGGUUCUACUUAAUGGGUGCUACCUAAACGGAACAAGAGUCAACAGAUGGAGCAAGGAGAGGAACCACGGAUAAGGGUAGAUGGCGAUGCACGAAGCAAUCGACUUACAGGUAGAUGGCGAUGCCUGAAGUAAUUGACUUACAAGAGAAAUGGCGAUGCAUGAAGCAAUCGACUUACAAAGGAUGGAUGAAUACAUGCUGGUUAUGUUAAGUUUUGAAAAUGAUUACUCGACGUUGGAUCGAGGUUUUGAUCUUGUUUUGAAAUGGUUAUCGGAUGUUCGUUUUAAUUCUUGUAUUAACAGAUGAAUAAAGAAUGAAAGAAUAAACAUUAUACACUUUAUGGGAGAGGGGUACAUUUGUUAUGAAUGGGGAUUGUUCAUGGCAAUCAAACAACAAAAAUAUAUGCCUCAUACAUCACACAAGUAGGCCACAGUUAUCAAACAAUCAGAUAAGCAAUCAAGUAUAUGAUCAAAUCAAAGAAUUAAGGAAUGAAAUAAUGAAGCAUUAGGAAAUGCAUGAUAAGUAUAGACAUGUUAAGCAAUCAAACAAUAGAAGCAUGGAUGAAAGAAACAAGUAUAAAAAAUAUCAGAUGAAUCAGACAAAUGAAACUAUGCACACAAAGGAUCACUGAAUAAUUUAAUCGGGAAAUGAUGCAAAGAUCGAAUAAAAUCAAGAUGAAAGGCCUAUAGUACAUGGCAUAUGAGAUGAACAAUGGAGGAUCAGAAGAUCUCUUCAAUUGCUCUAAGCAAUCCCUAAGUCAAACAUCGAUCAUAGAAAAGUCAACUGACAAGUCAAGUCAACUUAAAAAAAUAUGGAAUAAAUAGUAAAUUAAUCAAGAAAAUUAUGAAAAACUAAAUUAAGUAAGGUGGGGUCAGGACAUCAUCAUCCCCCAUAAAUAUUUUAAAAAUUAUGAGUAUUGGUAUGUAAAUUAAUUGAAAUAAAACAGAAGUCAAAUGAAAAGUCAACCAAGCAAACUAGGUCAAAAAUAAAUCCAAAAUAAAUUGAAAAUGGGAAAUAAAAUUCCAAGAAAAGGUCAGGUUGACCAUGAGAUAAUUGAAAUAAAACAGAAGUCAAAUGAAAAGUCAACCAAGCAAACUAGGUCAAAAAUAAAUCCAAAAUAAAUUGAAAAUGGGAAAUAAAAUUCCAAGAAAAGGUCAGGUUGACCAUGAGACAUUGGUUAACCCUCAUCCCAAAAAUCAGAACCUAAAAAUAAUUCUAAGUCAUGAAAAUAAAAUUAAUAAAAAAUGUGCUAAUAUGAACCACUUGAAAUAAAUAAUUAAAAUGAAAUAUUAACAUUAAAUAAAUAUGAAAAUAAAAAUUAAGUAAAAUUAAAUAAAACAUUAAGAAUUGUGGAAAAUAUUUUUUGGCAUUUUUAUGAAUAAAUAAAAUAUUUUUAUUAAUUAAAAAACAAAACAGAAAAUAAAAAUAAUAAUUAAGAAAAGAAAAUAAAAUGAGUGGAUUAAUGGGCCAGGCGGGUGGUGUGUGAAGAGCAAGCGCGCAUGAAGCCCAGCCCACAAUGAAUAUUCAGGCGUGACAUAAAAUUAAAAUGUACAUUUUAAUAAACCAUGUCACACGCCAUCAACCGGUCACGCUGGAUUUAAGUCAUAAGAAGACAAAACAGGAACGGACGGUCGAGAUUAAAAGACAAACGCACGAUCUAAAGGCCUACAGCGUGACACGUCUUGUCUUCUUCAUGCAACAUAAAAACCCUAGGGCCAUGCACUAAUGUACUUGUGAAAAUCAGUAUGCUUCGCUCAUUUUCAACAACAAAGUGCUCAUGCUACAGUUCACCAAAUGGGAUGAAGUAAAAAGCAAAGUUCAAGUGCGAAAUGAGUAGAACACCAUGGUAUUUUGUUUCAAAUGAAAUGGUAACUUAAACAUGGUGAAAAGUGGACAACAAGGUGGUCACAUGCACACGGCUACAACAGAAAAUAAUGUCACAAAACUCAAACUUAAUAGCAAUGCCUCAUGUUGAGGGCUUUAUAAGCAUGCAUAACAUAUUGUUAACAUGGGAAAAAACAUAAAGCAAGCAUGUAAAUAUGAUGAACAAACAUGGAAUGAACAUGGAAAAUAUAAUGAGCAAGCAUAGCAUGAACAUGGUAAGCAUGGUAUGAGCAUGAAAUGAGCAAAGCCAUAAUCAUGGGAAUGGAUUAGAGAGCUUACCUAGUGGAAAACAGUCCACUGCCUCUUGGUAUUAGAGGAAUGGAGGAAGAAGGAAGAGGCUUUAAUGCUUGUGCAAUGGAAGAGUAAUGAAAUGGAUAUUUUUCUCCUUUCCUUGCUUGCUCUUGCUUAACUCGAAAAUGGCAGCCACCCCCUUCAGAUUAGGGUUUCUUGUGUUUAUAUAUGUUGGAUUUAAAGUGGCUAAUGGGCUUGCAAUGUUUGGUUUGGUUUAUGAGCAAAAUGCAAUGCAAAAAGUGAGGUGUAUUAGAAGAUCUCUUGUUUUGGCCAAGGUCAAGUGAGUGAAACAAAAGCACAUGGCCAAAUGAGGUAAAGAAAAAAGGUUGGUCGAUUUUGCAGCUUUAUUGGUUGUCUUGGUUUGGCAAGGAAACAAUCCAACAGGGUGACUUUGUGACCUUGUAUCUUGAUGAAUACAUGACCAAAUGACAAGGCAAUGCAAACAGUAGGAAGAGUGCAUGGAGCUUAACAUUUUUCAUGUUGAACACAAAUUGAAAUGAUGAGUGGAAAGAGGUGAAAAUGACCAUAAAGUGCAGGUUUCAUCAUGCCAACAGGUUGGGCCAGUUUGGCCUAAAUGCUGCCUGGAAAUUCAGUUCAUGAUGCCAACUUUAGAUGAGUGCAUCUCCCAAACCAAUGAUCCAAAUGGGAUGAUUCCAAAAAGGUGUGAAAGAGGACAUGGAAAGGUAAAAUUUUCAUGAAGAAAGUAUUUUCAAAAGAUGCCUUGAAAUGCAAGAAAUCUGGCCAAGAAGUUUUGACAAAUUUUGCAGAUUUUGGACUUAGAAAAUUUUCUAAGUGUCCUAAAAUAAUGUCUCAAUUUGACCAAGCAUAACUUUCUCAAUUCUAAUCCAAAUGGAACAAACUUUAUAUCUCUAGAAAUCUUGGAACAAUAGGAACAACUUUCAUGUUGGAGAAAUUUUCAAAUGGAGCUUGCAUCUUGAUGGAAAAUGGGCUUAAAGUGGGUGCAACAAUCAUGAAAACUUGCCCUAAAUGGAAAGUCAACUAUUUCCAAAUUUAGUAACUUUUCCAAUUCCUGAUUAAAUGAUGAAUCCAUGAUCCAACCUUGAUCAAAUUUCACAUGUAGGCUCCUUAGGCAUGAAUUUUGAGAUUCCACUUUCAAAAUGUCAGGAGUUGACUUUUCUGGCCCCACAAUUGACUUUUCCCAAACUGCCUGAUUCCAGACUCCAUUGAUCAAUUGAAGCACCUCUGGCUCAAAUAAAGAGCUGAUUUUUUGUAUGUAGACCCUUGUGGACAUAUGGAGGGCCAUGGAAAAGAGUUUCACCCAAGGAAUCAGAAAUAGACUAAUUUUAUACCAAACCCUAGUUUAGGGCAAAAAUGAUCAGGAACUGAUUGCACUGAUUGCCAAUGGAUCUUUUUGAGAUAAUUGUGAAUCUUCCUAGGCCAAGAUGCCUCUCUAGUCAUGACAUGAAUGAUCCCCCUUUACUUCCAACCAAACAUUGCCUGUUGCAGGUAUCCAUGAAAUCCUAAUUUCUGAUUAAAUCCAUAUGUACAUUCUAAGAGCUCUGAAUUCUCCACUGAUGAACUGAGGACCAUAACAAGACACUUGGACCUCCUUGAGACCCUUAAGACUUGUAUGCUUGGAAAAUGAAGUCCAAUUCUCAAUCCUGCUUUGUGUGGGCUCCCUCUGGUUAAGGAGUGGUCAAUCAAACCCUGAUUUCCAAGUCACUAAUGCAGUACGCAAUGAGUAUGACCUAGUAUGAUGCUAAUGAAAUGUAAGGCACAAUCCCAUGCUUCCAAGAAAAAUGAAGGGUAAAUUUUGGGGUAUUACACAUACUUUUAGUAAUUAGAAGAAAUCAAAUAACUUAAGCUAACACUCAUAUUUGCAAAGCUAAUUAAACGAUUCCCGUUGACUACAACAGAUGUGUGGGAUGCUAAUACCUUCCCAACGUAUAAUCGACUCUAGAACCUAAAUUUGGUUGCGACGGUUAUAUUUUUGUUCUUUUAGGGUUUUAUUGAUGUUUUCCCAUUUAAAAAUAAACUUCGGUGGCAAAUCUGUUGUAUUUUGAGCGCUUGUUCACUUGGGUGACUUUUGCGCGCGCUAACUGGCGACUCUAUCGGGGAUCAUCUAAAGAGUCGAACCUAGUUUAGUUAGAUUUGUGAUGAAUGUUGGAUUUGUUUAUAUUUCUUAUGUUUUUAUGCUUUAUUAUUAUAUUGCCUUAUUAUACUUUAUUCAUUUAUGUAUAUAUUCAUCUAUGGGUUUGAGAAUUGUCGUUUGAGCGAAGCUCUGUACCUGAGCUUUGAGAAAACCCUAAGUUUAAGUUUUGAAGUUGUGUAGUGUUAGAUCCCAAAGUACACACCUUGAAUGGAUAACAUGAGGAAUCCAUCUAGAUUAGACAUUUUUCGUAAAUCUUGUCAUAAAAUGGGUCGCUCGUUGCAUGACGAAGAUCCGACUAAGGUCCAUGACUAUAUGAACCUGUUAGAAGCAGUUUGCAUAUGGAACCUGUUUGAAGAUAGAGACGUUAGGAGAAGUUAUUUUAUACUGGUAUAUAUAGGAGUUCAUUAUGUUGAAUUAAGGGUGUUCAUUAUUUUAUAGAAAUCUCACUAAAUAAACUCAAAGUAUUAGCGCAUAGAGAAACAAGUAACUUGUUGAGAGAAUGUAAGAAUAGUUGAAUUACCAUUCUUUACUUUCAAUGAAAAGUUGCUAAGUUUUACCUUCUCGAUCCUUGUUUCGUUUUAUUUAAUUCGAUAUCAUUUAAAUUACUUUACUAAGCAUUUAUAGUUUUUCUACCUAUUCCUUUAAACAUUCCUUUUAGUCAAAGUCGACGGUUUACCUCUUUUUUCUUACAAGUACUUGAAUUUUUUUUCCGACCAAGUCAAAAGCGAUUAUGUGAAAACACAGAAACAAAAACUAAACAGUUAUUUUGCAUUAUGUCCUAGGAUUCACUGGUUGAUCCUGCAAGUAACCCGUAGUCGGAGACCAACGGUUGUUUACCAUUUUUUCAGCGUAAAUAGGAGGUCAGCCGCUGAGAAAGGGAAAUGGAAGAAAAUCGAAGUUGGUGGGGGAUCUUCUUACCUUGACAAUUCCCAAACUUCCAAAAAAUAUUCACAUAUUUCAAAACACUACAUGGGGAAGAACCACACUACACGCACUCAAUGGAGAAGGCACCAACAAAACAAAAAGUUUGCCUAUGUAGUUGGAAGUGUGAGUAAGAAGAGCAGUGCCCAGUCUUUGGCCGAUGGACAAAAGACGAAGAAGCCUAUAAAACAAAGGUUGUUUCCUCUACUACCGCCAGUGGUCGAAUAAAAACCUAAAGUUUCCGUAGGAAUGGACAAGGAGAUGGAUAGUAACGACUUCAACUCUAUGUAGAAGGGUGAGUUGGAUAUCAUAUGUAAUAUGAUAUCAGUGCUUCCAUUGGAAUAUGAUAUAGUUACUAAGGGAACUGAAUAGAAGGAUGGGUUGGCCAAAGAAAUGGAUACACAUAAGCCUUUAUGAUAUUAUGUGAUGCACGAUGGCUCAAUCAACGAGGACAAGGCCAUCUUCGAAAGGCCUGGAAUAUUGAUGCAACAACAUAUGAAGCCUUUAUACAUAAGGACCAAAGUAGAAGGUGUCGGGGUUAACAAGGUUCUUAUUGAUUGUGGAGCCUACAUCAAUGUCAUGCCACAUUCCCUACUUAAGAGGAUUGGCAAGUAAGACACUGACUUGAAAUCUAACAACAUGGUAUUAUCCAAUUAUGAGGGAAAAACCAGCAUGCCAUUGGGUGUAAUCCAAGUGGAUAUGGUUGUAGGGACCACAACUCAACCUAUGUUGUUUGUUGUAAUUUCAACCAAAGCAAAUUACAAUCUGCUCUUGGGUCGAGAAGUGAUCCAUAGAGUUGGGUGUUUUCCAUCCUCCAUGCGUCAAAGAAUAACGAUAUGGAAGUCGGACGGGAUCAUAGAUCAUAUUGAGGCCGAUCAAAUAUUUUUUCAUGCAAAAUUGAAUCAUGUCAACAAGAGGAAUUUUGAUCAAUAAUUGGCGAAUAUUUUUCCAUGUCUAUCGGCAGGAAACGACUUCGAUUUUAAGGGUGCUGAUGCAUAUUACUCCGUGAAGUUGCACCAUUUACAUAGCUUUACUUGUAUGAGACCAUCGGUGGACAUACCAUAUGGUAUGGAUCAGACAAUGAAGAUGUCUUAAUCGAGUGUCUUGGCUCUGAUUUCGGCCUACAUGGUUGAAAAAAAUCAAAAGCGGCCUUAGAGGCCAAAUCACAAGAAAUGAUGGUUGUCGAAGCCAUCCAGUUUGAAAAUUUUGAAUUUGACCAAAAUGAGUAAGAAAUGGCUUCAGAAAGCCGCAUACUCGACUGCAUAUAUGAUGAAGAGCCUUUGAGGUUUGAGAAAUACCCACUUGCUUUGACCAAAAGGAUGCAAGCUCGGGAUCCUUUGGAAGAAAUUGAUAUGGGGAACGAGUUGACUAAAAAUCCAACUUACAUAAGUGUCAAACUCGACUCAACCCUAAAAGCAGGACUAAUCGUGAUGCGGAAGGAGUUCAAAAAUUACUUCACAUGGGAUUACCAUGAGAUGCCGAGACUUAGUCGGGAAUUGGUAGAGUUGAAACUGUCAAUCAAGCUUGAUAAGAAGCCUGUAAAACAAACUCCAAGGAGGUUUGCGCCAGAAUUUAUGUCAAAAAUCAAGUCAAAAAUCGAAAGAUUGUUGCGAAAUAAGUUUGUAAGACCUGCAAGGCACAUCGAGUGGUUAGCCAACAAUAUUCCGGUAAUUAAAAAGAAUGACACUCUCAGGGUCUGUAUUGACUUUAGGUAUUUAAAUGCAACCACUCCAAAAAACGAACACCCAAUGUCAGUGGCAGAAAUGCUAGUCAACUCAGAGGCUAAUUUUAGGUAUUUGAGUCUUUUAGAUGGUUACUCAGGUUAUAACCAAAUUUUUAUUGUAGAGGAAGACAUGGCUAAGACGGCUUUUCAAUGUCUUGGAGCUUUGGGUACUUACGAGUGGGUAGUGAUGCCUUUUGGACUUAAAAAUGCUGGCACAAUCUAUCAAAGGGUGACUUGUUAGGUUUCGUGGUUCAUAAGAAGGGAAUCGAGAUAAAUCAUAACAAAAUGAAGGCUAUACUUAAUAUGGAGCAUCUGACAACCAAGAAGCAGCUACAAUCUCUACUUGGAAAGAUCAACUUCUUGAGAAGGUUUAUUUUGAACCUAAGCAAAAAGACAAAUGUAUUCACAUUGUUGCCACGUUUGAAAAAGGAGGAAGGUUUCAGAUGGGAACCAAAACAUCAAAGAGAAUUCAAUGAUAUCAAAUAGUACAUGUCGAAGCCUUUUGUGUUAUUACCCCUAUAAGAAACAAGAGCAUGAAAUUGUACAUUUAUGCACCAGAUUCAAUAAUAGGCUGUAUGUUAGCCCAAGAAGAUGAUGAUAGCGUCGAAAGAGGAAUAUAUUGUCUUAGUUGAGUGCUAAUUGAUGAACAAACUAGGUAUAGCUUGAUAGAAAAGUUGUGCUUGCCUUUGUAUUUUGUAUGUUCGAAGUUGAAAUACUAUAUAAAAUUGACAUAUGUGUUUGUUUACUCACACUUUGGCAUUAUAAAACAUAUGUUAUCGAAGCCAAUUUCACAUGGUAGAAUAGGAAAAUUGGCUUUGGACCUAAUUGAAUAUUCUUUAACAUAUGCACCGCUAAGAGCCAUGAAAGUUCAAGUUGUUGUGAAUUUCAUAAUAGAUCCUCCAAUAACGGAAGUAGCACAAAAUUAUGUCGAGAAAUUGGCAUGGAAGUUUUAGUUUGACGGUUCCAGUCACUCUAACGGAACUGAUGUUGGGAUCCUAAUUAUCUCUUCUUAGGGGAUCCCAACAAAGUACAAAUUCAAAAUUAACGACCAUUGCUCCAAUAAUGAGGCUAAAUAUGAAGCCUUAAUAAUUGGUCUUUCUAUCUUGUUAGACCUUAGGGCAACAAGAGUCGAGAUUAAGGGAGAUUCAAAACUAAUGGUGAGGAAAUUGACAAAGGAAUAUAAAUGAAUUAACGGUACUUUAUUGAUGUAUUUUGUCAAAGCAAACUCAUUGUUGAAGAAGUUUGACAUGGUUGACAUUAAACAUUUGCCACAAAUUGAAGAUCAGGAGGCCAAUCAUUUGGUCCAUAUUGCUUUAGGGUAUCGGGUAUCUAAAGAAAAUUGGAAAAACUGAUUGAGGUCAUAGACAAGUUGAUCUCGACCAGUGUAUUAGCUCUAGAAUUGUCAAAGACGAAACUAGUGGGGGUAGAAUAAUUGGGAGACCUAAAUCCCAAAAUUUUCGAAAUUUUCUCCUUUGAUAAUUUGUUAAACGACGAUUGGAGGAAAUAAAUCAUAGAGUUCUUAAGAGAUCCAACGGGAAUAAUAGAUCAAAAGAUCAGAUACAGUGUGUUAAGUUACGUUGUCAUGGGUAAUGAGUUAUUCAAAAAGACUCCUGAAGGAGUUUUUCUUAAAUGCCUUAGUGAAAAUGAGGCCUACUUGGCAAUAUUUAGUGCACAUAGUGGAUCUUAUGGUGCCCAUCAAGCAUACCACAAAAAUGAAGUGGUUAUUAUUUCGACAAGGAGUCUACUGGCUUACCAUGUUGAAAUAAUGCAUAGAAUUUGCCAAAGGGUGCCAAGAAUGUCAAAAGCACGUAGGAAUUCAGCAUGUCGCAGUCAGUGAGCUACAUGCAAUAAUAAAACCUUGGCCAUUUAAAGUUUGUGCUUGGAUUUUAUAGGAAAGAUUAGAUCGACGUUGUCUAAGUCUCACAUAUAUAUUUUGGUAGUCAUAUACUAUUUUACCAAGUGGUUUGAAGCAAUACCUUUGGUAAAUGUCGACCAAGACGUGGUGAUUAAUUUCAUCCAAAGUCACAUAAUAUCUAGAUUUGGGAUCCUUAAAACUAAAACCACAAAUCAAGGAUCAAUGUUUAUUGGACAGAAGAUGGUUAGGUUCACCUCAAGAUCAGGGAUUAAGUUGUUGACCUCUACUCCUUAUUAUGCUCAAGCAAAUGGUCAAGUCGAGACUACAAAUAAGGUUAUAAUUAGCCUGAUUAAGAAACAUGUAAGCCAAAACCCAAAGAAUUGACAUAAGAAGCAAGACCAAGCACUUUGGGCUUGUCGAACGUCCCCUGAAGAGGAAAAUAAUGCCACGCCUUUUAGAUUAACCUUUGGGCAUGACAUAGUGUUGCCUGCAGAAAUACAUUUGUAGUCAGUGAGAAUUCAAAGGAAGGGAGAAAUCCAUACAAAUCAUUAUUAGAGCAUAAUGAUGGAUGAACUUGUCGACCUAGACAAGCAAAGGUUGAUCGCUUUAGACGUUCUAAUUAGACAAAAAUAGAGCAUAACUAAAGCCUAUAAUAAGAAGGUCAGCUUGAAAGUCUUUGCGGCCAGAGAUUACGCGUGGAAGGUAAAAUUAUCUAUGGAUCAAAGAGACAAAACCUUAGGGAAAUGGUCUCCAAAUUAGGAAGGAAGAUUUAAAAUUAAUCAGCUAUUUUCAAAUAAAGACUAUGAAAUUGAGGAGUUAAGUUUUGACGAUCGAAUAUUACGAGUAAAUGGGAGAUACCUAAAAAAGUAUAGACCUAUCUUACAAGAAAUAAAGAUAUCGACAUAAAAGUAUGUUAGGCCUUACAAAGUAGGAAGUGCAAUAUAAAAUACAAGAAAACAAAUAAAAUACAAAUGAUAUCAGCCAAAAGACUACAACUUGUUCCUCAACUCUUCGAAGCGUAGCUUUGUGCGCUCGAGCUUUCUAUCAAUCUGAAGGUCGUCAUCCUUCAAUUUCUCCACUUUGGCUUCUAGUGUUUAAUAGCCUUGAAUCAUUCUAGACCAAUAUUGGCAGUCUCAACAAGCUUUUGGUCGACGGAAUCUAGGUCAAAAGCGUUCAAUUUCUCUCUCUCUCUCUCUCUCUCUCAGAGAGAGAGAAGAGAGAGAGAGAGUCUCUCUCUCUCUCUCUCUCUCUCUCUGCUUCCUCGAUCUUCAGCUCCAGCUAGUUCAUUUGUUAGGUCUAGGUUAAGAAAUCAACAUCUAGAUUUGCCAAUUUAUUCUUUGCUUUAGCCUUUUCCUAUAACUUAAUAACUUGAGCUUGAGACACAAAGACCAAGCCUUGGUGUUCGUGCAGAAUACCGGCUCACAGCUCGAUACGAGUGUCACUUUCUUGUUUCUUCCUGACAACUUGGACAACCUGCUCAAGCAGAGGUUCGAAGCCCAACACAAUAUCAAUAAUCGGUCUUGAUACUUAUGGUUGGCUUAGUUUCACAACAAAACCUUGGAUCUCGAGCAAAGUAAUUGGAUCCUCUUUGAUAGUUUGGAGAAGAUCCAAGUUAACAAUUUUGGAUUUUAACUGCCCAAACAAUUCAUCAAAAUUGUCAAAUUAACCUCCAGGUGAGUUGAGAGAUAAAUUAGAGGAACCGUCAUGGCUAUCGACGAGUAUUUUGAAAGCCUCGACGGGGUUCUCUUGUUUACCAGUAGUUGUUGAGGCAUCCAGUGUUGAGGUGGACACUUCACUAAAGCUUCCUUGGGAUCGAGACAUAGACCCUAGAGUAGGAAAGGAGUGAGUGUACUCCUGAAAGCCAUCAUGACCUGGAGACCCUGCAAGUGGUUGUGCAUGGUUGGUUACAUUAACAUUUAGAGUCCCAACAUGAGCCCCCCUAGAGUUCCUUAUGGGGGACAUGGUCUUAUAAGAGCUUUCAGCAUCAGACCUCUAGCCUGGUUGGUUGGGUGAGUGGGGGAAGUUGUUCCUCGAUCCUGCCUAAUAGCCAGAGACUCGAUAGUUGGACUUUCAGUAGUCUCCAAAAUGGGAUUCAUCAUCCAACCACCAACUGGCCUUGCUUGGUCGGUUACCUUACCAUUCCUAGUGCCAUUGUACAAGUUGUCAUAAGGGGUGGUCGAUAAAGGUGUUGUGCAUUUUAUGCUUGAAUCCCUACUAUAACAGUUAAGUUAAUUUAGCUGAGGCUGAGGGGCUUCAGGGUUAGUGUCAUACGGCUUCCAAAAACAAUUUUAAUUAGUAUGGUUCAACAUUACCAAUUAGAGAGUAAGAAGGCAAAGUUAUUUGUGUAGUGUCUGGAUGGGGAUUCGAAAGCGUUGUUUCAGCUUCUUGAAUGGGUUGCUGGGAGGUGUUACCACUCUUUUUUUCUUCAUAGAUGGCAAUGCACUCUCUUCAAUACCAUCAUCUUUGAAUAUUGUUAGAGCCUCACGCCCUACCCUUUUCUUCUUCCUGAUAGAAGCUUUACCAUGGGUUAUGUUUGCCUAUGAGGGUGCAAUACUGGUCUUAGCAAUGUGGAUGCCUGCAUUUGUUGGUUGUGAUGGAGGAAUGGGAGAAGUUUGUUGGCAUUUACCGAUGUCGAAAUCGCUCUCUUUAUGGGGAGACUAACGAGGUUUGACAAUAUUAGUAAAGGUUAAACCUAGUCAAGACAGAGUAAAGGAUACAAAUCAAAAUCUCUUCAUCAAAGGACUCGUCCUUGGAGUCAUCGUCUAGAUAUCUUAUCCUUGAUGGACUUGCAGAAGUAGAGGCCUUUGUUGUUUUCUUACCCUGAGAAAGCAGGCUUAAAUCAGUAACGUCGACGAAAAGAAAAAGAAAGAACUUGUCGUGCCGCAUAAAAUACCUGAGCGUAUCGCACACUCGAAGAUACAACAUAGUCGCCACCAAACUUCAUUUGUUCCAAAAGGAAAGGGAAAAUAUCGAUAAAACCCAGGGAAAGAGAAAAAAAGGUAAGGAAGUCGAUUAUGCAAGGAUAUGAGUAUUCCCUCCCAUUAUUCUAUGUUGCUUAAGGCUCGUGGCUCACUAUUCGUAUCAUGACUGACAAGUGUUGAAGGUGAAUAUUUUUGUUGUCCUUGAUGGAUUAAGCAUUUAUCCCAUCUUGAUGUCCAAAGUCUUCAAAGUCCUGAGUGUGAAACUUGAAUUGACUUAAGGUCCAGUGUAGUGCCAAUACAGAGGGUUAGUCCUAUCAAGUGAUCAAGAGGCUUAUGAUCACUUGACUAGACAGGGGAAUCAGACAUAUGUCAAAUGAUUAGUUGAUCAAAGUCUUUUUUGAUCAACUCAAUAAAUCAGGGAUAUGAUCAAGCUAUGAAUUACAAGCACAAGAACUUUUAAAUCAAAUGACUAAAAUCAUGAAGGAAAUACAAUGUUAACACCUAGUAGUUUCUAAAUUUAAAACAAAAAUUCUAAUCAAAAUCUAAUAUUACAUGGUGUAGUAGUUUCCAAAAUUAUAAUUGAAAAUUAAAUCUAAAAUUAAUCUUGAUUAUUUGCUAACAUGUAUGAUUUUUAUCAAGAAGUGGAUUAAUGAGUAAAAUCAAUUAAAAUCUAACUACUAUUUAAGUACUAUCAUGGAAUUUUUUAAAAUAAAAUGUGAAAAAUGACAUUAAAAUGUAUGGGAAAGAAAUAACUAUUCAUGCAUUGAAUUGAUUAAGAAGUGUUAAAAAUGACAAAAAAUAAAUGAAUAAUAAAAAGGAAAAAAGAAAAUAUAGAGGCAGGGAGUAUGUUAUCCAGGGGGAAUGGAUUCAGCAAGAGGUAUUGGGAUUAGACAGAUAAGGCCCACUAGUUUGUUGUUGCUGAUUGUGUUUGGCAGGGGGUGUCUAAGAAAAAGCAAGAUGUGGAUAGCAAGGCCCUUGGGCCUAGGGUGCCUGAGGCCUAAUGCGAAGCAAAGAUAGGAGAGUUGAGACUAUCGUAUUCAACUCAUUUCUCUUCACCUCAGACCUCUCUCUCAAUUUCUUCUUCACCAGAAAUCGCUUUACCGCACCGGAGGCGGAGGAGCAUUCCAAAUGCACCUCAAACCACCACCAUAUCUACCCUAUCUACCUCAUCUCUUCUACUCUAUAACCAAUUCCCUCUGAAAUGCAAUGAAACCCCUUAACCGAACCAUAACCUUGAAGAAUCCUAGAUCCUAAGAAAGUGAAAUUAAAUUGAAACGGAGGGGAAUAAAGCCACACAACCUUGGGGUUUUGAUUCCACUAAAUGUCCUCUAAAUAUUGGUAACCAAUUCGAGAUGAAAGAUGAAGAAAUGGAGGGAGCUACCAACCUGCAGGGUCUAGGUUCACCCUAGGGAGCUUUGAAGCUUGCUUUGGAGAAGAUGAUGCAGAGAGAAAAUACCAGAGAUGUAUCAGGUAAGCAAAUAUCCAAUUCCUUGCUUCUUGCACUUCUAUUUCUUCUUCUUUUUCUACGAGUAGGUUGUAGGAUAAUUUGGUGUUGCUCUGUGUUAUUGUGGUUGCGUGUGGGAUUGAAGAGUGGUUGAGAGUGAUGAGAUUGAUAAUUCAAAGGGAGACUAAUUGAGGGUGAAAUUGCAGAAUGAAUUGUUUUGUUGAGAAUGAAAGUGGAGUCCUGAUUAUAUAGAGUGUGAAGUGGAAUUAGAUUGUAACCGUUUAGGGCAGAGGUUAGGGCAGUUCAGUUAUGGAUUAGGUCAGUUGUUAGAAUAGAUUGAAGUUAGUCUAAUCAAGAGCAAAGUUAGUUAGAGUAUUAACUCUGUUAAUGAAUUAAAAUUGACAAUUAGUUAUUAUAGUUUGAAGUUAGAGUAGUGAGGAAUGUUAGUUGUGAUUGAAAAUAUGUUAGGAGUUAGUUAGAUUGAUGUUAGUGAAAUAUAUAAAAAAGAACUAGGUUAUUUAAUUUUUUCAGGAGUUAGGAUCAUGACUUGGAUUAUUAUGAAGUUAAUCACUCUUAUUGUAUUACUUGAAUGAAUGGGUCUUGUUAUUGAGUUAGUUGGGCCAUGGUUGAACCAUUAGAGUGAAUUGAACUGUUGCCAUGGAUAUUGUUGAUUUGAGUUGAAUUGCUAUGGUCAGUUGCUGCAGAAUUAUAGUUAACUUAGUUAACUUUGAACUUUUGUUCAAAACUGUUAGUAUGAUGAGCUCAUUCAAUGAAUUUCCUACUGCAUUGCAAAUGUUUGAAUGAAUUUGAGUAUGAAUUGAAUUGAGGUUAGUUGCUUGUCAUGCUUAGUGUUUGGUAGAUAUGGUAAGUUUUAUGAGAGAAAACAUAAGAAGUGGAGAGAGAGAGAAUAUGACAAAGUUUGUUAGCACUGCACAUGGGUGGUACAGUUGGCAACAGCUGGGUGGUAAUAGAAUUGAGGAGUAAGCCAAUAAAUGAGGGAGCACUCACUCUGUGGUGGUAGGCAGAAAUUGAGUGGAGAAUAUCCUCCUAGGAGAGUACAGACCUCUCUAAGUGCCUCUAUUUGCUUUCUAUUUUCUCUGCAGCUUUUUGCAACUUUUAUGUAUUUGCUUUGUAUAACUAGAUCCCAUAUGAACUCUAGUUUUCAUCAAUAAAAAUCAGAACUUUCCUACUCUAUUUUUUGUACUUACUAUUCCCUUUACUUAAGAUACUAAAUUGAACCUAUCAAUUUGGUAUCUAGAGCCUUGGUUUCGUUUCACUGUGGAUGGUCAUUACGAGAAGCAUCAUGAAAAACCGAGUAGAUACCGUGGAGCAGAGAAUGAACAAUUUUGAAGGGAUGAUGGAGCAUAUUAGACAGCUGGUGAUAGAGCAGCAAGCAAGACCGCAAGGCACGGUGGAGCAAAUACGCCAGCUGAUUCAAGAGCAACCGGGUCGGAAUCACGGAGGAUCCGACGAAGAAGAUGAGAGAAGCGGAAGGAACACGAUAUCGUGUGAAUCCAGACCUAGGAACCGCCGUCAUAAUGGUGUAAACAUAUCUCGUUCCAUGGGAAGCAGACGAAGGUUGGAAAUUCCGAUUUUCAAAGGAGAGGAUACGUAUGGGUGUCUCGUUCGGGUUGAGAGGUAUUUUCACCUCAAUGGGGUGAGGAUGCGUGACAAGCUAGAUGCAAUUGUACUUGCCAUGGAAGACAAAGCUUUGAACUGGUAUCAAUGGUGGGAGGAGCAGGCACCAUUGAAGACUUGGGAAGAGUUCAAAGUGGCUGUGAUGAGAAGGUUCCAACCUGGGUUACUGCACAAUCCUUUGAGACCCUUGUUAAGCCUGAAACAGAGAGGGUCAGUUGUAGAGUAUAUGGAGAAAUUUGAAAUGUUAGUAGCCUAACAGAACUGAUGGACAAGGCUUUACUCAUUGAGGAGAAAAAUGAUGUGCUGCUUAAGAAGGGUGGCUCUUGGAGAGAUAGAGGAUGACCCUUAAAACUCAAAGAUCCUGCAGACUUUGGAGGAUUUAAGAAGGAAGGGGGAAAUGAGAAAUACAAGAGUAGGAGAUUGAAUCCUGCAGAGCUGGAAGAGAGGAGCAAAAAAGGGUUGUGUUGUAAGUGUGGAGACAAGUGGAAUAGGGAGAAUAUCUGUAAGUUCACGCAUAUGAGCUUGAAAUUGUGUGAGAAUAGUAGUGAUGAAGAAGAAGAAACAGGGGGAAUAGGGGUUCAAACAGAAGAACUGGUGGAAGUAGAAGAAGAAUUCAAAACUCUACAAUUGUCGAUGCAAAGUAAACAAGGAUUUACUUCUAAUAAAUAUUUUAAAAUGAUGGUGACUGUGAUGGAGAAGAAGCUGGUAACCCUAAUUGAUUCAGGAGCAACAAGUAACUUUAUUGAUGCCAAACUAGUAGAACAGAUGGGAUUGAAGUUGGUAGAAACUCCCCCUUAUGUAAUUGAGGUGGGAAAUGGUGAAAGAGUCAAAUAUCAGGGAAUCUGUGAAGGGUUGAGAUUUAUGAUGCAGGGGGUGGAACUUAACCAACAUUUCAUGAUAGAGUUAGGGGGGACUGAUAUGGUAUUGGGGAUGGAUUGAUUGGCCAAUUUAGGUAAUAUUGAAGCAAACUUUGCGGAGUUAAGCCUGAAAUGGGCGUCUGAAGGACAAAAGCAUAAUAUACAGGGUGGUCCGUUUUUGUGCACCAAACAAGCUUCCAUGAAAGCUAUGAUAAAAGCUUUGCAUAAUGAAGGCAUGGGAUUUUUCCUACAGAGUCUGCAGGCAGAGGAGCAGUCCCCAGAACUGACAGAAUGGGAAGAAGUGUUGAUAUCUUUUGAGAAGGUUUUCAACCUCCCUGCUAGGUUACCUCCUAUAAGGAAGCAUGAUCAUGCGAUUAGGCUCAAGGAUGAAGCUGAUAUACCUAAUCUCAGACCUUACAGGUAUCCUUUUUUCCAAAAGAAUGAGAUAGAGAAGAUAGUGAAGGAAAUGUUGCAAACUAGAAUUAUUAGGCAUAGUACAAGUCCUUUUUCAAGCCUAGUUUUAUUGGUAAAGAAAAAAGAUGGAGGAUGGAGGUUUUGUACUGAUUACAGGGCCUUAAACAAGGUGACAAUUCCUAAUAAGUUUCCAAUUCCUGUAAUUGAGGAAUUGCUAGAUGAGUUAGGUGGAGUUGUUAUCUUUUCUAAGCUGGAUUUGAAAUCUGGUUACCACCAGAUUAGAAUGAAAGAGGAAGAUAUAGAAAAGACAUCUUUUAGAAUUCAUGAAGGCCACUAUGAAUAUCUAGUGAUGCCUUUUGGACUGUCAAAUGCCCCCUCUACAUUCCAAGCCCUGAUGAAUGAGGUUUUAAUUUCCUUAGGAAAUUAUGUUUAGUGUUUUUUGAUGACAUUCUAAUCUACAGCAGAAGCAAAGAAGAACAUAAGGACCACCUAACCAUGAUCUUAAAGGUAUUGCAAGAUCAGCAGCUAUAUGCCAACAAGAAAAAGUGUUCUUUUGGCCAAAAGGAGAUUGAAUAUUUAGGGCAUAUUAUUUCUGGACAAGGAGUGUCUGCAGAUCCAAAAAAGAUAGAAGAUAUGCUUAAAUGGCCUACACCUAAAAAUUUGAAAGGGUUGAGGGGAUUUUUUAGGACUCACUGGCUAUUACAGGAAGUUUGUGAGGAACUAUGGAAAAAUUGCUUGGCCUUUAACACAACUGCUCAAGAAGGAUGGUUUUAAAUGGAGUAGUGAGGCUCAAGAAACUUUUGAGAAGUUGAAAAUGGAUAUGACUACUAUCCCUAUUUUGGCCAUGCUUGAUUUUGAUAAAGAAUUUGUUGUAGAAACUGAUGCCUCAGGCCAAGGGAUUGGAGUUGUCCUAAUGCAAGGAGGAAAACCUAUUUGUUACAUGAGCCAAACACUAUCUGAUAGGGCUCAACAGAAAUCUGUAUAUGAGAGAGAGUUGAUGGCUAUAGUCAUUACAAUUCAAAAGUGGAGGCCUUAUUUACUUGGAAGGCAUUUCAAAAUUCACACAGAUCAAAAAAGCCUUAAGUUUAUCACUGAGCAGAGAAUCAUGGGAGGAGAACAACAGAAGUGGUUAUCCAAACUUUUAGGGUUUGACUUUGAAGUGAAGUACAAACCAGGAAAAGAAAAUAGUGCUGCUGAUUCACUGUCUAGACAUAUGCAGUAUGCCCACAUCACCACCAUUCAGUGUGAAGCCUGGGAAGGGUUAGAAGAGGAGAUUAGGAAGGAUGAUAAAUUGACUUCAUAACACGUUUGGAAUUAAAGUCUGGGACGGUCGGUCUUCCGGUUUCAGUUAAAAGGAGGGAGAUUGUAUCAUGAAGGAAGGGUGGUAAUUCCCAGAAAUUCACCUAGGAUUUCUUGGAUUCUGAAUGAAUUCCAUGAUACUGCAGUUGGGGGACAUUCAGGGUAUUUAAGGACAUACAAAAGGCUUGCUAGUGUUGUUUAUUGGGAGGGCAUGAGGAAGAGAAUCUAGGAGUAUGUCCAGGCAUGUGAAGUGUGUCAAAGAAAUAAGUAUCAAACUUUGACACCAAGAGGCUUAUGCAGCCAUUACCCAUUCCCACACAAGUCUGGAGUGGCAUUUCUAUGGACUUUAUUAGUGGAUUGCCUAAAGUGCAAGGAGUAGAUACUGUCAUGGUGGUAGUGGAUAUAUUAACCAAGUAUGCCCAUUUCUUCCCUAUCAGCCAUCCUUACACAACUAAGAGUAUUGCUGAAGUCUUUCUUCAGGAAGUGAUCAGAUUGCAUGGAUUUCCUAGUUCCAUAGUUUCUGACAGAGAUAAAGUGUUUCUCAGCCACUUAUGGGCAGAAUUGUUUAAACUGGAAGGGACUAAAUUGAAGUACAAUAGUGCUUACCAUCCUCAAUCUGAUGGCCAAACAGAGGUAGUAAAUAGAUGCUUAGAGACUUAUUUGAGGUGUGUGACUGGGCUCAAGCCUAGGCAAUGGCCUAAGUGGAUGGCAUGGGCAGAAUAUUGGUACAACACCAAUUACCAUGCAUCUUUGAAAACUACUCCUUUUGAGGCAUUAUAUGGAAGAGCUCCUCCAGUGCUAAUUAGAGGAGAUAUCCCUGGAUCUGCUAUAGAUUACUCCUUUUGAGGCAUUAUAUGGAAGAGCUCCUCCAGUGCUAAUUAGAGGAGAUAUCCCUGGAUCUGCUAUAGAUGAGGUCAACAAACUGACCAUGGAAAGAAACCUGAUGAUCAAGGAGUUGCAAAAGCAGUUGUUGAGGGCUCAAGAUUUGAUAAGGAGCCAGGCAAAUAAGCAUAGAAGGGAAGUGGAAUAUGAGGUGGAAGAUAUGGUAUUCGUAAAAAUUCAGCCUUAUAAGAUGAAAAAACUGGCAAAAAGGCUAAAUCAGAAACUGAGUCCAAGGUAUUAUGGGCCAUAUGAGGUUAUACAAAGAAUUGGAGUUGUGGCUUAUAAGCUCAAAUUUCCUGAGGGCUCUAAGGUGCAUCCUGUCUUCCAUGCAUCUCUGCUUAUAAAAGCUGUAAUCCCGGUGGUGGAACCCCAACCUCUACCAAGUUGCAUGAAUGAGGAGUGGCAGUUGGAACCAAUGCCUGAGAAAGUGAUAAGUGAUAGACGAAAUAAACAAGGGGAACUGGAAGUGUUGGUGAAAUGGAAAAAUCUCCCUGAAUUUGAGAAUUCAUGGGAGUUGGCAGAAAAGAUGUGAACUGAGUUUCCAGCCUUCAUCCUUGAGGUCAAGGAUAGUUUUGAAGGGGGGAGAGUUGGUAGAUAUGGUAAGUUUUAUGAGAGAAAACGUAUGAAAUGGAGAGAGAGAGAGAGAGAGAGAGAGAGAGAGAGAGAGAGAGAGAGAGAAUAGGACAAAGUUUGUUAGCACUGCACAUGGGUGGUACAGUUGGCAACAACUGGGUGGUAAUAGAAUUUAGGAGUAAGCCAAUAAAUUAGGGAUCACUCACUUUUGAAGGUGAGAAAAACAAGAAAGGGGGGUUUGAAUUGUUUUGGAAAAUAAACGCUUUUUCAAAAGAAGAACACACAGAAUUUUAUACUGGUUCGCUUAUAACACACAGCUACUCCGGUCCACCCGGCCAAGGUGAUUUCGCCUUUAAAAAGGACUUAAUCCACUAAUCUUGAAAGAUUAAUACAACCAAACGUCUAAGAGAGUGAUCUCUUAGUCCUCCCAAGUAUACAGACUACGCAGAGUCACUUGAGGAACAAAAUCAAUUUAGCAAAAAUAGAUUUGUAAUCGAGAGUGCUUCUAAGAGUAAGCAAAUAUUACUCGUCUAAGAGAGUGAUCUCUUAGUCCUCCCAAGUAUACAGACUACGCAGAGUCACUUGAGGAACAAAAUCAAUUUAGCAAAAAUAGAUUUGUAAUCGAGAGUGCUUCUAAGAGUAAGCAAAUAUUACGGCAAAAAGAGCAAGCAAGUGUUUUCACGUAUGAGCAACAACUCGUGAAAAACUAAGAGAGAAUGUAAAGAAUUUUCUGUGCGUUGUUGUGCGUCUCUCACUGAAGUAUGCUGUCCUUUAUAUAGUGCUGAAAGAACCGUUGGAGUGAUGACAGAAUAUUGGUCUUUGAAGAGCAUUCAAUGUCAUUACUUCUGUGUUUCUUGCCAUAACCAAUUUGUCUCCCUGAAUAACUUCUUUCCAAAAAUACUUUCUUUCCAUUUGAAGAAGUUCUUUCCGUUACUCUUUCUUGAUUUGGAGAAUCUUCAUCAGAGUCUUCGUUAUCUCGGAGGUUGUGUCAAUCGGAGAUUGCGUUGAGGUUACGUCAGAGCUUCUAAGAGUACUGGUCUUUUAGAUCAUCAGAGUUGAGUCCAGUGGAAGUUUAGAGCUUCUGGUAUUCUGCUGUCCUAUUUUGCUCAGAGUCAGAACUUCUAGAGCGCACUUCUUCUUCAGAUGCUUUUGAUCUUCUAGUACUUUAUAUCUGAUAAGAGUUUGUAUCUGAUAAAGUGAUCAGAUUCCUUUGUUUCUGUUCAGAGUCCUGCACACUUAGAGAAAUUUCGUUAGGGUGCCAUUUUUGGUUUCAUCUUUUGUUAUCAUCAAAAUCCUGGAAUUCUAUUGUAAAACUAAUUUUGUUCUUACAAUCUCCCUCUUUUUGAUGAUGACAAAACAAUCUUAGUUUAUAGAUGAAACAUUUAGAGAUAAGAAUUUAUCAGAUCAGAUAGAAGUGAGCUCCCCCUGAGAUAAGCCUGGGAGUUCAGAAGUUCUUACCGAAGCUUCCAUGAUAUGAUGUUUCUAGAUACUCUUCUGCAAAUAUCUAAGUCAAAAAGGAUUAGAACCAUUUUAUUGAAUAAAAUGUUCGCAGAGUACUAAAGGAUUUAGAUAUGUUUUCAUCAGAGCUGUUUUUGUUUCUCCCCCUUUUUGUCAGAAUAAAAAAGACUUAGCAAACAAAAGGAAAGGCAAAAAAUAUAUAUAUUCAGAUAAACAGCACAAACAGCAGAAAGCAAGAACAAACAUAAUCAGAGAGCAACAAGAAAAUCAGUAAAGGAAAAUCCUAGGUGCCUAAGGGUUUGGAGGUGGAGGCAUCCUCUGAAGCAGCUGGGUCAGCAGAUUCUGAAUGUUGACGUUGACUGAAUCCUGUUGAUCCAAUCUAGCUCGGACUUCCUUCUGCUCCUUCUGAAGAUCUUCAAGAGUCUUGAGAACCAGUUUCUGAAUGUUGACGUUGACUGAAUCCUGUUGAUCCAAUCUAGCUCGGACUUCCUUCUGCUCCUUCUGAAGAUCUUCAAGAGUCUUGAGAACCAGAGGGACAAAGGUGGAAGACUCCCCCUAAGUCAUAGCAUCCGGUUCUACCCGGCUGGCAGAUUCUUCAGCACGAUGAGCUUCAUUUUCAGCAGCGGCUUUAGCUUCAGCUUCAGCAGCAACUUUUGCUUCAGCUUCAGCAGCACCAGCGUCAGCUAGAGCUUUGGCUUCAGCUUCCUUAAGUCGUUGAAUUUCCUCUUGCCUUGCUUUUUCUUCUGCUUCCUUUCUGGCCUGCUCCUCAGCUUCUCUGGCUAAGCGUUCAUGUAGUCUUACUUCAGCAUCUCUGAUGAAGUCGUUUCUGACUUGCUCAGAGAGGCUCUUCAGUUUGAAGGCUUCAGAGGUCAUCUAGCCAAUAACUCUGUUCCAGUGUGUCGUAACAGCUGAAGGAUCAUCACUGAUGCCAGAGUUGAUGGUCAGAGACUUGACCUUGUCAACUGAGGCUCCUGCAAACAACACUAUUGCUUCUUCUAGGGUUGGCAGGGUGUUUUAUGGUUCAGAGGGUGGAGGUGGAGAAGUGGGAGGGCUUAGGUUGAGAGUUUGUGGUUUAGCGGAUGUGUUUGGUGGGGGUGUGUCAGAGGUAAUUGGUUCAGGGGGUUGAAGGUCAGAUGAUGUUGGGUUUGGUUGUUCUGCGGAUGGUGAAGUGACUUCAGGGUCAGGUUGGUGUUGGGUUUGUGUUGGCUAUUGUGAGGCCAGAGUCUGAGCGUGAAGUUGGGCCAGAGUGGGAGAUGAGGGGUCAGAGUGUUCUCUGUCUGAUGAGAUGUUGAAGUAGGGGGUGAUUUUGGAGAAGAAGAUGAAGAUGGUGAGGAGGUUUCAUUCAACAUUUCUGCUUCAGAAAGAUGUAAGGUGGUGGUGGCAUGAUUAAAUUUCUGAGAUGUUUUGGUGGUUGAAGGCGGGGUGUCUGAGUGAGUGUAGAUAGGUGUUGGUUGAGGGAGAGAAGAAGCAAUGGGAUGUGUUUGUGCAGAGGGAGCAAGAGAGACUGACUUACCAGAAGGCUCAUGUAGAGGUGCUAGAGGUCUUGAUCCGGAGGAUUCUCCUAGCUUUGCCUUCUUCGCUUGUCUCGCCUUUUCAGAGGGUCCAUGGGGAUGUUUCAUGAAGUUUGGAGCCUUAUAUGGUAGAUCACUUAGGUUGAAGUCUGAGAUAUCCACUCCUUCUUUCAUCAGAUUAUCCAGAUAGAAGAGGAUUACAUUGCGGGGGUCUUCCUUUGAGAACAUAUAGAGUCCAUAGGGGAUCUCCCUCUGAUCUUUUAGACCAUCCCAGGAGGUGUCCAGAGUAGGUUUGACUUUGACCUGAUCCAUAAUCCCCAUGCUCUUCAGAUUUUUGGCGUUGAUAGGUUUUCCAGUGUCGAUCAUUACGUCUUCCAUGAGUCUGAGCUUUAACAGGUGGUCCACCAGACGACUUUCAAUCAGAACGUCAGAAAUUAACAUUCCCAGAGGAAUGUAGUUUCUGGGCUUCAUGUGGUUUCGUGUAUCUCGCACAGAGUCUCUGAGAUAUUUGAAAAGAAGUGCUGGAAGGCAGAGCUUCAGACCCUUGUGGAUGCAGUACAUAAUGCACUUCUGGUCAGUGUUGAUAUAGUCUGAGGAGUUUGACGCUGGGCGAUGAUGGAUGGUACCCAGAAUGAUCUUCAGCCAAACACGGAGGUUCUGAAGUAGCUCCUUGUUCUUGGAGGGGUUGCCUUCUGCGUUCUGCUUGAAGAUUGUAGAAUGAUCUUCAGCCAAACACGGAGGUUCUGAAGUAGCUCCUUGUUCUUGGAGGGGUUGCCUUCUGCGUUCUGCUUGAAGAUUGUUGGGUUAAUCUCUUGGGACAUGUAUUUUGCCCUAGGAUUGACGUUGUAGAUUCUUCUGCCUCCAUCUUUUUCCAUGCCCAGAAGAGCAGCAAUGGACUUCUCAGUUAUCACUAUCUUGACUCCCAGAACAUAGGAGACAAUGAAGUGGUCAUCAGCGUCAUCGAAUCUCCAAAAUUCCUUCACAAGAUUUGUGUAAACUGGACCAUAUAGGCGUUUGAAGUAGUUUCCCCAACCUUGAUUUUUGAGUUCAUCUGUGAGAUCAAUGUCGUUUCUACGCAUGUUGUCAAAAUCCACCAAGGAUUCACAUAGAACUUCCAGCUUCUCAAAUGGCGUUGCAAGGUUGAUGUGAGGCUCACGAUCAAGAAUGUGAGGCUCUUUGUAGAUGGGAGUAGUGACUACACCGGUAACCGCUGGGUUUGGGUUGCUUGAACUUGGAGCUUGUUCGCUUGAAUCCAUUUGUUGAGAGAAGUUGUAGACAGCUUGUUGUUGAGCAUCCAUGAUGUUGUUGAAAACUGAGAUGAAGAUGAAGAAUGCUUGCAGGAAUGCCUUGAGUCUCGACUCCAAAUUCCCACGCACUCUCACUUUUCACACGUUAGUGUGAAAUGAAUGUGUUUAAAUACCCAAAUUAGGGCGCAUGCAAAACGACACACAAAAUAGAGUUUAGCACAAAAACCAAGUCAACACGUUUAGAGGGAAAAAUGAUUACAGCUCAUUAAUGAUGUCUAAUCCCAACAGCUAGUACACUGCUCGAGGAGAUAUCAAGAGACUGUUCCUUGAUUACUGCUAGACAACUGUCUAGAAGUUCCAAGGUCAGAUGCAAGGUACUCCACGUGUUUGCUUUAUCUGAUCUUCAGGAAUACCAACGGAUUGGUUCCUGGAGAUUUCUAACUUAGAUAACUUCUAACUUGGUAGGAGUAUGAGAGUCAGAGGCAGAAUCCAUUGUGUUUGCAUUAGAGUCUCAUUUUACAACUUCAGAGGCACAUAUUAUUCAGGGCAAUUUUGAAUGUUCAGAUUCUUUAGGAUGAGGAGGAAUCUAUCUUCAGCUAAGGGUUUAGUAAAUAUGUCAGCCCAUUGAUGAUCAGUAUCAAUGAAUUUCAAUGUUACUACCCCUUUCUGAACAUAGUCUCUGAUAAAGUGAUGUUUUAUUUCUAUGUGCUUAGCUCUGGAGUGUAAAAUGGGAUUCUUGCUUAAACAAAUGGCAGCAGUAUUAUCACAAAAGAUAGGAAUGUUACUCUCAAAGAUUUGCAGAUCCUUUAACUGAUUCUUCAUCCAGAGCAUCUGAGUAGUGCACAGUGAUGCUGAGAUGUAUUCCACUUCUGCAGUGGACAGGGCUAUGGUUGAUUGUCUUUUGCUGGCCCAGGAUAUCAGAUUGUUUCCCAAGAGCUGACAAUUUCCAGAUGUACUUUUUCAUUCCAUUCUGUCUCCUGCGUAAUCUGCAUCACAAAAACCAGAUAGUCUAUACUCUGAUGUUUUCUCAUACAUCAGGCCCAUGUUAGGAGUUCCUUUCAGAUAUUUGAGAAUUCUCUUAACUGCUGUUAAAUGAGUUUCUCUAGGAUCUGAUUGAAAUCUGGCACAGAGACAAACACUAAAUAGAAUAUCAGGGCGAGUAGCAGUCAGAUAGAGAAGGGAGCCUAUCAUACCACGAUAGAGCUUCUGACAAACCUUUUUACUGACUUCUUCUUUGUCAAGAAUGCAGGUUGGAUGCAUGGGUGUCUUUGCAGAAUUGCAUUAAGCCAUAUCAAAUUUCUUCAGAAUGUCUUUUAUGUAUUUGCUUUGAUGAACGUACGUGACUUCUGAAGUUUGAUUGAUUUGAAUCCCUAGAAAGAACUUUAGUUCUUGCAUUAAGCUCAUUUCAAAUUCUGGCUGCAUUAGCUCAGAGAAUUCUUGACAUACAGAGGCGUUAGCUGAACCAAAAAUGAUAUCAUCAACGUAUAUCUGGCAUAUCAUGAGAUCAUUAUUAAUGUUUUUACAGAAGAGUGUAGAGUCAACUUUUCCUCUAAUAAAAUCAUGUUCCAGAAGAAAAUUACUUAAUCGUUCAUACCAAGCUCUAGGAGCUUGUUUAAGUCCAUAUAAAGAUUUCNNNNNNNNNNNNNNNNNNNNNNNNNNNNNNNNNNNNNNNNNNNNNNNNNNNNNNNNNNNNNNNNNNNNNNNNNNNNNNNNNNNNNNNNNNNNNNNNNNNNNNNNNNNNNNNNNNNNNNNNNNNNNNNNNNNNNNNNNNNNNNNNNNNNNNNNNNNNNNNNNNNNNNNNNNNGGCUAUGGUUGAUUGUCUUUUGCUGGCCCAGGAUAUCAGAUUGUUUCCCAAGAGCUGACAAUUUCCAGAUGUACUUUUUCAUUCCAUUCUGUCUCCUGCGUAAUCUGCAUCACAAAAACCAGAUAGUCUAUACUCUGAUGUUUUCUCAUACAUCAGGCCCAUGUUAGGAGUUCCUUUCAGAUAUUUGAGAAUUCUCUUAACUGCUGUUAAAUGAGUUUCUCUAGGAUCUGAUUGAAAUCUGGCACAGAGACAAACACUAAAUAGAAUAUCAGGGCGAGUAGCAGUCAGAUAGAGAAGGGAGCCUAUCAUACCACGAUAGAGCUUCUGACAAACCUUUUUACUGACUUCUUCUUUGUCAAGAAUGCAGGUUGGAUGCAUGGGUGUCUUUGCAGAAUUGCAUUAAGCCAUAUCAAAUUUCUUCAGAAUGUCUUUUAUGUAUUUGCUUUGAUGAACGUACGUGACUUCUGAAGUUUGAUUGAUUUGAAUCCCUAGAAAGAACUUUAGUUCUUGCAUUAAGCUCAUUUCAAAUUCUGGCUGCAUUAGCUCAGAGAAUUCUUGACAUACAGAGGCGUUAGCUGAACCAAAAAUGAUAUCAUCAACGUAUAUCUGGCAUAUCAUGAGAUCAUUAUUAAUGUUUUUACAGAAGAGUGUAGAGUCAACUUUUCCUCUAAUAAAAUCAUGUUCCAGAAGAAAAUUACUUAAUCGUUCAUACCAAGCUCUAGGAGCUUGUUUAAGUCCAUAUAAAGAUUUCUUAAGUUUAAAAACGUGUUCUGGAUAAUUUGAGUUUUCAAAGCCUGGAGGUUGGUUGACAUACACUUCUUCUGAUAUAUAACCAUUAAGAAAUGCGCUCUUGACAUCCAUUUGAUACAAUUUGAUAGAAUGAUUUAUAGUGAAUGAUACAAGUAAGCGAAUAGAUUCUAACCUGGCGACUGGAGCAAAUGUUUCAUUGUAGUCAAUACCUUCUUGUUGACUGUAACCUUGAGCCACCAGUCGAGCUUUGUUUCUGACAACUUCUCCUUUCUCAUUCAGCUUGUUUCUAAACACCCAUCUGGUUCCGAUAACGUGAGUGCCUCUGGGCCUAGGAACAAGAUCCCAAACGUCGUUCUUAGUGAAUCGAUCUAGCUCUUCUUGCAUGGCUAGAACCCAGUCGCUAUCUUGAAGUGCCUCAUCACAGGAAGUAGGCUCGAUCAGAGAUACUAGUCCUAGAGGAGUUUCUUCAGGAGUCUUGAAGGUAGACCUAGUUCGGAUAGGUUCGUCCUUAUUUCCCAGAAUCAACUCUUCAGAUAUGUUGAGGCGACUUUUAGCUUUCUUCGGGAUUGCUGGGGUGUUAGUUCCUUCUGAGGUUUGAAUGGCAGUUACUUCUGGAGCUUUAAUCUUCUCGUCAGAUCCUGCAAGAGUGAUCUCCAAGUCUGCAAAUUUCUCAACUAGCUUUGACUUUUCAGGGUCAAGCUUAUCAUAAAAUCUGACAUGAAUUGAUUCUUCCAUAAUUUUGGUUUCUGUAUUGUAUACUCUGUAGCCUUUAGAGCGUUCUGAGUAUCCUAACAUAAUACCUUUUUGUGCUUUGGAAUCAAACUUGUUCAGAUGUUCUUUAGUAUUUAAGAUAAAACAAAUGCAUCCAAAAGGAUGAAAAUAUGAAAUGUUGGGUUUUCUUCCCUUACACAGUUCAUAGGGAGUCUUUUCCAGAAUAGGUCUAAUAGAGAUUCUAUUCUGAAUAUAACACGCUGUAUUUACAGCUUCUGCCCAAAAGUGCUUUGCUACAUUUGUUUCAUUGAUCAUGGUUCUGGCCAUCUCUUGGAGUGUCCUAUUCUUCCUCUUUACAACUCCAUUUUGUUGUGGAGUUCUAGGGCAGGAGAAAUCAUGGGAUAUUCCAUUAGAGUCAAAUAAUUCCUCAAAUUUUUUUUUUCAAAUUCCCCACCAUGAUCACUUCUGACUCUGACAAUUUUAGAGUCAAAUUCUUUUUGCACUUUGGAAUAGAAGCUAGUGAAUACAGAGUGAGACUCACUCUUGUGCUUUAGGAAUUUUACCCAUGUCCAGCGAUUGAAAUCAUCAACAAUGACUAGUUCAUACUUCUUUCCAUUGACUGAUGCUGUUUUCACAGGACCAAAUAAAUCAAUGUGAAGAAGUUCCAGAGGCUUAGAGGUAGAAACAAUAUUUUUCUUUUUGAAAUAUGUUUUUGUAAAUUUUCCUUUCUGACAUGCUUCACACAUAGCAUCUGAAGAAAACUUCAGCUUAGGUAGGCCUCUGACUAACUCGAGUUUAUUUAGCUGAGAUAAUUUUCUCAUGCUAAUGUGGCCCAAGCGUCUAUGCCAUACCCAUUGCUCUUCGUGAACAGACAUCAGACAUUUCACAUUUUGUUCUUUUAAAUCAGAAAGAUUUAUUUUAUAAAUAUUGUUUUUCCUCUUGCCUGUGAAUAGGACAGAACCAUUGUUUUGAUUUAUGGCUUUACAUGUUUUUUGAUUAAAGAUUACAUCAUAACCGUUAUCACUUAAUUGACUUAUUGAUAACAGGUUAUGCAUUAAUCCUUCUACAUAUAGGACAUCAGAUAUAGAGGGAAGAGUACCAUUACCAAUAGUUCUGGAGCCUCUGAUCCUUCCUUUCUGAUCUCCUCCGAAGCCUACGAAUCCAGCAUCUUUAAGUUCCAGGCUUUGGAACAUAGACUUUCUUCCUGUCAUGUGUCGCGAGCAUCCAGAGUCCAAGUACCAUGACUGGUGUUUUAACUCUGCUGCAUAAGAUAUUUGCAACACAAACAAUCUUAUCCUUUGGUACCCAGAUUCUUUUGGGUCCUUUGUGAUUAGUUUUCCCAGAGCUUCUUAACACUUUGGGUUUUCUAGCAUUAUUAAAUUUUUGCUCUUGUGUGUGUGUGUGUAGUGAUAUGAAAAUGGAUAUUUAGGUUGGUCAUUAGUAGAAGUUUUGUCUUCACUAGGAUCAUACCAAAUUCCUCUUCUAUUGUUCUGACUGACUCCAUAAAUCAUGGAUGCCAUUAUACUCCUCCCUAUCCCAUUUUUUAGAAACUUUUGAAAAGCUUUUUCAUUUUUUAUAAAUUAUUGUGUUUGAAGUUUGUGGAGCUUGAGAUAACGCUUCUUCAAGUUUUGAGCAAUUUUUCUUUGUUGCAUCUCUUUCUAAUGUCAAAGAUCUGUUUUCAUCUUUUACUUCUAAGAUUGUUAUCUCAAGUUUUCCACAUUCUUCUAAUGUUUCUUCAAGAACGCCUUUUACAACUUUAAAUUUUUGUUUGAGUUUCUGAUAUGAGCUGAGAGUUUCAGACAGACAUGAUUCUAGGUCAGAUCGAGAGAGUUCAGAAAAUACCUCUUCUGAUUCAGAUUCUUCAUCUGAAGUAUGAGCUGAGAGUUUCAGACAGACAUGAUUCUAGGUCAGAUCGAGAGAGUUCAGAAAAUACCUCUUCUGAUUCAGAUUCUUCAUCUGAAGUGUUCUUGGAUGUGGUAGCCAUGAGUGCCACAUUAGCUUGUUCAUCAGAGUCUGAUUCUGAUGAGUCAGAUUCGUUGUCAUCCCAGGUAGCCAUCAGUCUCUUUUUGGUUCUGAGGGAAUUUUUCUUGAAGUUCUCUUUUCUGGAACUGUCUUUCUUUAACUUGGGACAUUCGUUCCUGUAGUGACCUGUUUCUUUACAUUCAUAGCAAGUAACAUCUUUAUUAGUUUUACCUUUUGAGGUUGAGUCUGAUCGGUCCCCUCUGGGUCUUGGUCUCCUGAAGUUAUUAUUCCUCUUUCUCUAGAGUUGUUUUACUCUUCUGGUCAGGAGGGAUAAUUCUUCCUCAUCGUCAGAGUCUUCCAGUUCAGAGUCAUCAGCAUCUUCUGUUUCGGCCUGGAAGGCUUUGUUUCUGUCAGUCUUGCGCCUUUCAGAUCUGGACUUUAAUGCUACAAACUUGAUCUUCUUUUGAGGCUCAUCUUCCUCUAGUUCUAUCUCAUGACUUCUGAGUGAGCUGACAAGCUCUUCAAGGUUGAUGUUGUUCAGAUCCUUUGAGAGUUUUAAGGCUGUGACCAUGGGUCUCCACUUCUUUGGCAAGCUUCUGACUAUCUUUUUGACAUGGUCUGCAGUUGUGUAUCCUUUGUCUAGUACUUUGAGACCUGCAAUAAGAGUUUGGAAUCUAGAGAACAUUACCUCUACAGCUUCAUCAUCCUCCAUUUUGAAGGCUUCAUAUUUCUGGAUUAGAGCCAGAGCCUUUGUUUCUUUGACCUGAGAGUUUCCUUCAUGAGUCAUCCUCAGGGAGUCGAGUAUAUCUUUAGUUGUUUCCCUGUUGGUGAUUUUUUCAUACUCAUUGUAAGAUAUGGCAUUGAGAAGUAUCGUUCUGGCUUUGUGAUGAUUCUUGAAUUCGUGAUUCUGAUCAUCUGUCAUUUUACUUCUGGAAACGACAACUCCAGCAUCUGUUACAGGAGGUUUGUAUCCAUCUGUGACAAUGUCCUAGAGAUCAGCGUCAUAGCCUAGAAAGAAACUUUCAAUUCUAUCUUUCCAGUAAUCGAAUUUCUCUCCAUCAAAGACUGGAGGCUUAGCAUUGUAAUUGUCUCUUUCAUUGGUGUUGGCCAUAGUUUUUCUCGUUCUGGAUCUCUCUACACUGUUAAGUGUUCGAUUAGAAAAUCAAUAACAGAGCCGAAGCUCUGAUACCAAUUGAAGGUGAGAAAAACAAGAAAGGGGGGUUUGAAUUGUUUUGGAAAAUAAACGCUUUUUAAAAGAAGAACACACAUAAUUUUAUACUGGUUCGCUUAUAACACACAGCUACUCCAGUCCACCCGGCCAAGGUGAUUUCGCCUUCAAAAAGGACUUAAUCCACUAAUCUUGAAAUAUUAAUACAACCAAACGUCUAAGAGAGUGAUCUCUUAGUCCUUUCAAGUAUACAGACUACGCAGAGUCACUUGAGGAACAAAAGUAAUUUAGCAAAAAUAGAUUUGUAAUCGAGAGUGCUUCUAAGAGUAAGCAAAUAUUACAGCAAAAAGAGCAAGCAAGUGUUUUCACGUAUGAGCAACAACUCGUGAAAAACUAAGAGAGAAUGUAAAGAAUUUUAUGUGCGUUGUUGUGGGUCUCUCACUGAAGUAUGUUGUCCUUUAUAUAGUGGUGAAAGAACCAUUGGAGUGAUGACAGAAUAUUGGUCUUUGAUGAGCAUUCAAUGUCAUUACUUCUGUGUUUCUUGCCAUAACCAAUUUGUCUCCCUAAAUAACUUCUUUUCAAAAAUACUUUCUUUCCAUUUGAAGAAGUUCUUUCCGUUACUCUUUCUGGAUUUGGAGAAUCUUCAUCAGAGUCUUCGUUAUCUCGGAGUUUGUGUCAAUCGGAGAUUGCGUUGAGGUUACGUCAGAGCCUCUAAGAGUACUGGUCUUUUAGAUCAUCAGAGUUGAGUCCAGUGGAAGUUUAGAGCUUCUGGUAUUCUGCUGUCCUGUUUUGCUCAGAGUCAGAACUUCUAGAGCGCACUUCUUCUUCAGAUGCUUCCGAUCUUCUAGUACUUUGUAUCUGAUCAGAGUUUGUAUCUUAUAAAGCGAUCAGAUUUCUUUGUUUCUGUUCAGAGUCCUGCACACUUAGAAAAAUUUCGUUAGGGUGCCAUUUUUGGUUUCAUCCUUUGUUAUCAUCAAAAUCCUGGAAUUCUAUUGUAGAACUAAUUUUGUUCUUACAACUUUGUGGUGGUAGGCAGAAAUUGAGUGGAGAAUAUCCUCCUAGGAGAGUACAUGCCUCUCUAAGUGCCUCUAUUUGCUUUCUAUUUUCUCUGCAGCUUUCUGCAACUUUUCUGUAUUUGCUUUGUAUAACUAGAUCCCAUAUGAACUCUAGUUUUCAUCAAUAAAAAUCAGAAGUUUCCUACUCUAUUUUUUGUACUUACUAUUUCCUGUACUUAAGAUACUAAAUUGAACCUAUCAGUGUUUAGGAAAAUGAACUUGCUAAGAUGCCUUAGUGAAAUUGUUAUGACUUAGUGCCCUAUUAUGAAGACUGACUUGAAAAAGCUAAUGAUUAGGAAUUUGAUACUCAUUGAGUUGUUGAAUGCAAUGUUUAGUUAGUUUGAGCUAUCAUGAAUUUGAAAUUGAAUUGAAAUGCCAUGUUGUUAUUGAUGUGCUAAAUUAUGAUACUUGUUAUAUUAUGAUGCAUGCUGACAAUGAUGUUGAACACUAGUUGUAGUUAGUUAAUUAAGGAUUAGUUAAUGGACUAUUAAUGAUAAUUAUUGACUGAUAACAGUAGGUUGGAUUAGUAAUGUUAAUGGGAUUGGUUAUUCUACUAUAUGAUUGAUGUUGGUUUAAUUGAUAUGCUAGGCUAGAAUAAAUGUAUCUUGAAACCAAACUGGCUAUUAUUUGAACUGCUAUGCUGUUGUUUAGUGUGACUUUCCUGAACUGUCAUAGACUGUAUUUGUAAUAUUGGUGUUCAAUUGAAUGCUUGAAUUGUGAGCCUUGCAUGAUUAUGUCAUGGUGGUUUAUUUUGACUCAUGAAAAGUGAUAGUGUGGAUUGUUAUGGGGUGUAUGGAUGAACCUUGUUAUGUGAAUCAUAUGUAUUGGCUUAGAUUUGUGCGUGUGCAGGCUGAUGGGCAUAAGAUGGUUUGAUCAAGGCUCAUCUUGGCAUGUCAAAGCUUAGCAUUAUGGAUGCAUCAAGAACAUGAAGAAGUCUUGAAGAACUUGGAGGAAUUGAGGAAGAUUGAAGGCAUAAAUGGAUGAUCAAUGAUGAUGAGGACCAAAGUAGGUUUAGAUAGCUAAUUUGACUUUUGGUCAACUGUUUGACCAAAAGUCAACAGUUAAACAAAAGUUAACCCUAGGUAGAAAAAUGGAUUUCUUUGAAUGAUUUGUAUUUUGGCCUCUCUUGUGAUGAAACUUUGAAAGCUUGUAAUGAAAUUUGGGCCUUGAAUGAUGUAACUUAUUCUUCAAGAAAUAUUUUCCCUCCAAAUUACAUUUGAAAAGUUUGAAUUUAAAUUGCACUUGAAUGACCAUGAAAUGAAUUGAUCUUGUCUUUUUCAACUCAAUUUUUUUCCUCCAAAUCCAAACUUUGAACAUUUGAAAAUGAAUGAAUCUUUAUUGAAAAUGGAACUUAAAAUUGAAUACCUUGAUCACCUAAGUGAAGUGUCAUGCCAUGAUCCAAAAGAAACCAGCCAGGGGACUAAUGUAUUGAAAAAUGCCCAUAAAGAGAUUAAUCAGUCAAAAUCAAUCUUUCAUGGUUGACCAAGUAAACCUGCAACCCAUAAUCAAAUUCAAUGCCAUGAUGCAAGCCUUAUGAUCCACAAGUGCCAAGAAUCAAGAAUUAGGGUUUCAUAACUUUGAAUCCAAGAGAAAUAGUCAUCACUAGUCAAUGUAUCAUCAUGAUGCCCUAGAUUUGAUCCUCAGGGAAAUCCUAGCUCCAUGUUGAUCAUAAACACCAAAAGGCCUUUGACUCAAUGAUGUUUACUUCAAAAAUGAAAUGGUAAAAUGAAUGUCUUAUGAUGCCGAUGAAUAUGUAGAUGAACCAUAGACCAAAAGUCAAAUAAAAGUGAAAAUGGGAGGACAAAUUUUGGGGUAUGACAGAACUAAAGAGAGAGGGUUAUUCGUUUUACCCUUGAAGUUUUUUUGUGGUACUUGUACCUUGGGAACCAGCAGUCGAAACCCUUGGAUUAGUGAGAACACCUGCAAAGUAGUAGGAAAUGAUGUGUCAGUCUAAAAAGAUCCAAAGUAAAACAGCAAAAAUCAUUUCAGAUCAAGUCGACAAAAGUUACCUCUUUCUCUCAAGAAGGAAAAAGCGUUAACCAGGAAAAUGAACCAUGAGGGUGUGGUCUGGCACAUUCUUCCAAUGGAUGGCCCACCACUCCUCAAAUUCUUAAGUGCAAUGAUAUGAGAGUGUAUAGUCGAAAACAUGAAGGAAAACUUAUUUCUUUUACAAAAGUCGUGGCAGCUUUUAAGCCACCUCUCAGCAGCAUUGUCGGUGGAGAAGAAGAAGACUUCGCCUUUGGGAAUGAAGCACUUGGGAAGCAGUUGGCUCAGUCCAAACUGCCUACCACGAGGGCGGGGUGACGGACCAACAGUCAUACCUCACGUACCCUGACGAGCAUCAGCUCGAUGAAGGUUUGACUGUCACGCGCCCAUAACCUUGGCGGGUGUCAGCCAGAGCUGACGGGCAGUUCCCUAGACCGUUUUCAAGGUGAUAGUCGUCAUGCCCACGACGUUCAGACCGUCACCCCACCCAAAAAUAGGAAGGUGAAUAGUCGGAGGACCUUCCUCGAGUGUAGUAUAGUAAAAAUCCUGGCGAUACAGGAUUUGGCAUGAACGGGAAAGCGUUUGUAUUUUCUUUUACAAUAUGUGUUGUGUGGUAUAAAAAUGAUUAAGGUGAGCAACCUUAGUAUAAUACUAGGUAAGUCCUAUAUAACUGAGAAGACUCCUAAGAUAUGAAGACUAUAUAGCCGAGAAGACUCCUAAGAUAUGAAGACUUUACUGAGAUAGUUUAUUCUCACUCCUGUUGUUGUCAUAAUCCUUACAAGUGAGUCGGCUAAAGACAAAGAUGAAGAAGAUGGUUUGAUGAAGAGUUUUUUUUAAAGAUUGUUUUAGAUGUUAUGAUCCUUAUGUAAUAUUUUUAGAGAAAAGAUAUUCCGACACCAAACACAUACACCGUAUUUUCGAGUUAACUAACUUUGGUGAUUGCUCAAAAUUACUUUUGAGACCUGAACAUUUAUUAACCAACUUUUUACUUUUCAUUAUCACCUUUGAUAUACUAGUAAAAAAUAUUUUUAAUAUCUAGACAUAUAUUAUCAAAUUUCAUCACUUUAUUAGUCAACUUUAUUUCAACAAUUUUAAACACGCAUUGUUGAUAAAAAUAUUAUUCACGGUAUAAAUACACUGAACAGUGCAUACGGAUAUAUAUAUAUAUAUAUUAUGUGAUUCUAGACACACAAUAAAUACAAUAAAUAUGUUAAAAUAUAAAAAAUCAAAGGUGGAUUUAAUUCAAUUUUAAAAUAAAAGUUAGAUUUUAAAUUUAUAUCUUAUUGCAAAUAAAACCUCUCCCUGAAACAAGUGAACUCAAAAACUCAGUAAGGCGUUAUGUAGCAACAGAAGUUACAAAACUGAAAGUGUCAAGCCAUUUUUUCAAGCACAACAGACACGAACAAAAACACAGUAGAGUCAAAUGGCAACGAUUCCAUACUAAAUUAAGGCAGUGUCUAUGUUUUUUAUGUAAGCUCAACACACUCCACGUUUAGAGCUGCUGAAUAUACUUGACUGCCACGAUUACUUGGAUUUUUUUCUACAGAUUUCAUGUUAACAACUGCCAUUUUUUCUAUUAUCAUUAAGACGAAAUUUCAUCUUCUAGAAAUCAUGAAGACAGAACUAACUGUUGACAUAACAGUACAUGAUUAUAAAAGAUAAGUAGUCCUGUCGGUGGAAUGGAAAUUAAAAAUGUAACAUCUUCAACAAGGAUGGAUGCAUUUACAGAGGUAGUUCACCACUAUCAGCAAUCACAACCUUGCUCUUAGGAGUUCCACUUAAAAAUGUAACAUCUUCAACAAGGAUGGAUGCAUUUACAGAGGUAGUUCACCACUAUCAGCAAUCACAACCUUGCUCUUAGGAGUUCCACUUUGAUUUCCUUCAGCUUCAACCUUGUAAACGACAUCCAUUCCUGAAAGCACCUUUCCAAAAACAACAUGUCUUCCAUCCAACCUAUCAAAUCAAAUAGAUACAUACAUUAUUAGCAAAAACACAAAAUAAAUCACAAGUGACUAUAUCUUAAGUCGAUCUAACCAAUCUGAAUAAACGGUUAGAGGAAAUACAGGUCUACAGAGAUUGAUGUAUGUCAUGUCGUGAUUAUGGAAGAAACAAAGUUAUCAGGCACUACAAUUAAUAUAGAGAACAGGGAUAUAAUUACCAGCUAGUUGUUACAGUUGUAAUGAAAAAUUGUGAACCAUUGGUAUCAGGACCAGCAUUUGCCAUUGAUAAAAAUCCUGUUCGUACAGAAAAUGUAAAACAAAAAUCAGCCCCGUCACAUAUUCAUUUGAAUUUAUUUAUAUGAUUAGUAAACAUCUAAAACAACAAAAGAAAAAUAGAAUAAAAUUACCUGGUCCGGUAUGCUUUAGCUUGAAGUUCUCAUCAGCAAACUUCUCUCCGUAAAUUGAUUCUCCGCCCAUACCAUUGCCGUGUGUAAAAUCACCUCCUUGGAUCAUAAAGC